GUUCUGGAGCUACGCAGUUGGUCUUGUUGGAAAUAUUCCGUAGAGGCAAUAAUGAAAUAGUUAUUAUUAUAUUUCCUAUUUCAAGAUAAUCGUUUAUUAUCCAUGCUAUAAUUGUAUUGAAUGGAAACACAAGUGCGUGUGUGGAUACAUAGACAAAACAAUGUCCCUAGUGAGUCUCUAGUUGACUAGCUCGUUGAUCAAACAUGGUUAAGGUUUCCUAGCCAUGGACAAGUAUUGCCAGUUGAUGACGGGAUCACAUCAUUAGGAGAAUUAUAUGAUGUACAAGACCCAAACUAUAACCGUAGCAUGUGAUCGUGUCAUUUUGUUGCUAUUGUUUUUCUGCAUGUCAAGUAUAUGUUCCUAUGACCAUGAGAUCAUCUAACCCACUGACACCGGAGGAAUUCCUUGUAUGUAUCAAACAUCGCAACGUAACUGGGUGAUUAUACAGGUGUUCUACAGGUAUCUCCGAUCGUGUCCGUUGAGUUAGUAUGGAUCGAGACUGGGAUUUGUCACUCCGUAUGACGGAUAGGUAUCUCGGGGCCCACUGGGUAAUAGAACAUCACAAACAUGCCUUGCAAGCAAUGUGACUAAAGAGUUAUCCACGGGAUCUUGUAUUACAUAACGAGUAAAGAGGCUUACCGGUAACGAGAUUGAAAUAGGUAUGGAGAUACCGACGAUCGAAUCUCGGGCAAGUAACAUACCGAAGGACAAAGGGAAUGAUACACGCGAUUAACUGGAUCCUUGACAUAGAGGUUCAACCGAUAAGAUCUUCAUAGAAUAUGUAGUAUCCAAUAUGGGCAUCCAGGUCCCGCUAUGGUAUAUUGAACAGAGAGUGUCUCGGUCAUGUCUACAUAGUUCUCGAACCCGCAGGGUCUGCACACUUAAGGUCCGGUGACGUUUUGGUAUAGUUGAAUUAUUGAUAUUGGUAACCGAAUGUUGUUCGGAGUCCCAGAUGAGAUCCCGGACGUCGCGAAGGUUUUCCGAAUGGUCCGGAGAGGAAGAUUAAUAUAUAGAAAGUAUCCAUUUGGCUUCCGGAAGGUUUCCGGGCAUUACCGGUAAAGUACCGGGAGAGACGAAUAGGUUCCGUAGUUCCACCGGGAGGGGCCACUCACCCGGGAGAGAACCAAAGAGGCCCAGGGUGGCACACCAUCCCCUGGUGGGCUGGUGGCCAGCCCAAGUGGGCCUGGUUCAGACGAAGGAGGAGAAAGGAAAGGAGAGGUGGGGCAAACCGAAAUAGGAAGGGACUCCUCCUCCCAAUCGGAUUGGAGGGUGACUCCUCUUCCUUCCAUGGCGCGCCAGCCAACCCUAGGGAUUUUUCCCUAGGGCGCCACCCCUCCCUCUCUCCUAUAUAUAGUGGAGGUGAGAGAAGCUUUUGGCACCCAAGCCAUAGUACAACCCUCUCUCCCUCCACCACUUCGUGACACCCCGUAGCUAGUUCGGUACGGCACGGCGAAGCCCUGCCAGAGUAACUCCACCACCAUCACCGCCACGUCGUUGUGCUGCUGGAGAGUUCAGCUACCUCUUUGCCUCUCUUGCUGGAUCCACAAGGCAGAGAUCGUCAUCGAGAUGUACGUGUGCUGAAUACAGAGGUGUCGUCCGUUCGGUACUAGAUCGGGACGGACUUCGUGGGACGCUUGCGAUUCGGAUUGCGAAGACGUUCGACUACAUCAACCGCAUUUAUUAACGCUUCCCGCUUAGCGAUCUACAAGGGUAUGUGGAUCCGAUCUCCCCUCUCGUAGAUUAUCAUCACCAUGAUAGGUUUUGCGUGUGCAUACGAAAUUUUUUGUUUCCCAUGCGACGUUCCCCAUCAGUGGUAUAAAAGCUAGGUUCAUGCGUAGAUGAUAUCUUGAGUAGAACACAAAAGAGUUUGUGGGUGUUAAUGUUCAAUUUUCUGCCCUCCUUAGUCUUUUCUUGAUUUAGCGGUAUUGUUGGAUUGAAGCGGCCCGGACCAACAUUCCUCAUGCGCGUACGAGAGACCGGUUUCAUCGACUAACAUUCAACUUGUUGCAUAAAAAUGACUGGCGGGUGUUUGUUUCUUCAACUUUAGUUGAAUCGGAUUUGACCGAGGUGGUCCUUGGAGAAGGUUAAAUAGCAAUUUGCACACCAUCGUUGUGGCUUUGCAUAAGUAAGAUGCGAUCAUACUAGAUACCCAUAGCAGUCAUGUAAAUUUUGCAACAACAAAUUAGAGGACGUCUAACUUAUUUUUGCAGGGUAUGCAUGUGAUGUGAUAUGUCCAAUGACAUGACAUGAUAUAUUGGAUGUAUGAGAUGAUCAUGUUGUAAUAAUUAAAUAUCGACUUGCACAUCGAUGCUACGGCAACCGACACGAGCCAUAGGGUUGUAUUUAAUUAUUUUGUGCUUGGUGAUGCUUUUCUUUAUCGCUAGUAGUAGCUUUAGUAGUAACAUCAUAGUUAGCGCGACAACCUCGAUGGAAGCAUGAUUAUGGAGAUGAUGGUGUGGCGACGGUGACGAUGGAGGUCAUGCCGGUGCUUUGGUGAUGGAGAUCAAGAAGCACAAGUUCAUGGCCAUAUCAUGUCACUUAUGAUUUGCAUGUGAUGUUAAUCCUUCUAUGCACCUUAUUUUGCUUAGGACGACGGUAGCAUUAUAAGGUGAUCCUUCACUAAAAUUUCAAGAUAAAAUUGUUUUCUCCCCGACUGUGCACCGUUGCGAUAGUUCGUCGUUUCGAGACACAAAGUGAUGAUCGGGUGUGAUAGACUCUACGUUCACAUACAACGGGUGCAAAACAGUUGUACCACGCGGAACACUCGGGAUAAACUUGAGGAGCCUAGCAUGUACAGACAUGGCCUCGGAACACAAGAGACCGAAAGGCCGAACAUGAAUCAUAUAGUUGAUAUGAUCAACAUGGAGAUGUUCACCAUUGAAACUAAACUCAACUCACGUGAUGAUCGGACUUGAGUUAGUGAAUUUGGAUAAUGCGACACUCGAAUGACUAGAGGGAUGUCAAUUUGAGUGGGAGUUUAUUAGUAAUAUGAUUAGCUAAACUCAAUUAUCUUAAACAUAGUCUAAGUAAUCUUUGCAAAAAUUUAUGUUGUAGAUCAAUGGCUCGCGCAGUAGAAACCCUUAAUUUUAAUGCGUUCCUAGAGGAAGCUAAGCUGAAAGAUGAUGGAAGAAACACUGUUGACUAUGCCCGUAAUCUGAGGCUUAUCCUCACGGCUGCCCAAAAGCAAUAUGUCAUUGAUGCAGCACUAGGUGAUGCUCAAAGAGAGAUAAAUUGCCAUCCAGGUACUGGCUAUGGACCCGUAGGUCUGUGGUGAUCCACUUACAUAUCAUCAUGAGGGCAUCAAGGUUGAUGAAGAAGCCCUCGGUGAUCGAUCCGACCUCUGGCAGAGUGCCGAGACAGAGCUCUAGAUGGACCCCCGUCAGAACAGAGACUUGUGGCAGCGUAAAAAGUGUUUCCGGACCUCCGUCGAUGUUUUAGGAUAGAUGAGAAUUUAUAGACUAGAGAACAGAGUCGGGAGAGCCGCGAGGGGGCCACAAGCCAUUAGGGCGCCCCCUGACCGCGCCCUGUUGGCUUGUGGGGCCCUCGUGCACCCUCGUGCCUCCUUUCGAUGCUCCACGGUCUUGUUUUAGUCCAGAAAAAAAUCACAAAAAGUUUUAGGUCAAUUGCACUUCACUUGGUACUAAACCGUAAAAAGUGGAAAACACGCAGAAAACAACAACUAGCACUUGGCACUGGGUCAAUAGGUUAGUGCUCAAAGAUAAUAUAAAUUGGUAGAUAAUUAGUUCAUAAAAAAUGUUCUAAAAUGAUAACAUAAUAGCAUGGAACAAUCAAACAUUAUAGAUACGCUGGAGACAUAUCAUUGUACCGCUCGCUAGGGUUUUCUGCAUGGUACUUGUGUGCACUGAUUGUACCGGUGCACGAAGAGGUUGUACUGCUGUAGUGUAAAAACCGUUGUAACAGUUGAAUUUGGGGGCACUAUAAAAGGGGAUGGUUCUUCCACCGACCUUCUUACCUCUUACCUCUCUCUUUCUCUCUCUUUCCUUCAUUAAUGCCCUCCAAGCUUUCUUGCUCGAUCUCUCUUCCACUCAUUAAUGCUAGCAUCAUCGUACAUUUGGAGUCGACACACUUUGCUAGAGGCCGCUACCGGCUAGCCGAGCUGGAUGUGAUCUGACUUGCAACCAAGUGAACGAGAACCUAAGGGGUCGUGCUCUUAAGAGAAGGAUUCUACGAGGUCAUAUACGAGGACACUGGUCGGAUGUGAUCUGAGCUGGACUUAGAUCAUGACCAAGUAGACUUUAGGCUUUAGGAUCCAUGUGAGGCCCAAAAUUGAGACCGCGACGGAUGCCUAUAUAUAAUGGGGGUACCACACACAUAUUCGGUCGAUUGCUUCAGCAUCGUCAUUAGGGCGUUGCAUGUGUUAGAACCACCCACCUCCACUCGCCGCCGGUUGUGUGAUCGGACCUAGCAGUCCGCCACAUGACGUUCCUCCUGCACGUGCGAAUACCGUUAGAGGUGGUGCAGUUGCGCAGCUCCAACGAAGUUGUCCACGGGAUUCAGCGGACGACUGUUUGAGAGACCGGACGAGGAGGGGGCAACUCCUGGGACGCGCUAGCACCACUAUUCGUCCACUACAUUGCGCUCUAGUGGUAACAAUCUGUGAUUCCUCUCCUUAGCAUGUUCCCGGUUAUACAGUGCAUAGGAAUUUUUUUUAUAUUCCAGCCGAUGCACCUAGCGUAGCCCAACACUAUCCCUCCGUCCCUCCCUUCCUUCCUCUCUCUCUCUCUCUCCCUCUCUCUCUCUCAAACACUUAAUACAUGCAUACUUACAUUAGUUUGAUCAUGUUCAUGUGAUUUAAGGUUAAUUGAAUUUGUGGCACUAUCAUAUGAACAAUGAUGGUGCCAAAUCCAUGGCCUAAAUAAGUUGCAUCCAAAUGUACACGGAAAAUAGUUAGAUAAAAAGUAUGAACACAUCGUAGAACAUAUUACAUCGAGAAUCGAUUAUGGUUCUAUACAUAAAAGAACAAAAAUCUCGUGGUGCAAACUAAACAUACGUUUAUAUUAAUUAAAUGUAUGCACAUUUCGUUCCUGCAAAAGAAAUUUGUCCUAUUCGGAAGAAAAGAAAACAAGUUUUGAAAAAUCAUGUAGCAAUUACUAGAAAGAUUACCAGAGUUGAGAUACACAACUAUGGACGUAGCCAUUUGAGAUUAUCCUGUCACUGUCCACGGACCCGCCCGCAGAUGUAUAUAUGUAGUGCUCCAUUUGGCAAUUGGAGUUGCAGAUGCUCUAACUUCCUUCUUUUUUGUGAACCAUGUGAUGAACAAGCUCUCUCGAAACAGGCUUUCGCCCCGCUUUAUAGAUAAAGCACAACGGCCAGAAUCCAACCCACAUGUUCGAACACAAAAAAUAAAAAAGAGAGUCAGGUGGGGCAACAACACAGUCCAGCCCAAAAUAAAGAGAAGAAACAAAAAAUUCCCACACAGGGGCAAGCUAGGCAGCAAGCAAGGGAGAGGAGAGCCGUCGGGCGGCCGCCAUCAACGCGUCCAGGUAGAGCUGAAGUCGGCCUCGAUCCCGGGUCCUAACGAGCGGAUGCCAAUGCUGCAAGAAGGCAAGGAAUUUGAAGAACGAGUCAGAAGCACGCCGCGGAAACACCUUCUCAAUCAUCAUUUUAUUGUGAGUAGUCUAGAGGGUCCACAUCAUAGCCGCGAAGACCAACCAAAACAGUCGGCGUUUAUGACCGACCUGGGUGGCCCGCACCUGUAGAAAAUCUGCAAGGUCAGAGGCCUCCCACUCUGGUCCCAGAGCCUCGCGUACAAAGCAUCAUAGUGCAUGUGCCGCAACGCAUGAGAACAGAAUGUGAGAGCCAUUCUCCGGGACAUGGCACAGGGGACAUAUGCCGUUACCCGGACCAUGGCGUUUCAGCACCUCGGUCCCUGAAGGUAAACGGUCUCGGAGAAGCUGCCAAACAAAAAUCUUGAUCUUCAAGGGCAGCGGGGCCUUCUAGAGUGGGGAUAACCACGGGAGGACCAGCAUUCUGCACAGGGCCAGGUAUGCCGAACUAACAGAGAAUUCUCCCGAGGGAGAGAGGCUCCAAGAGAUACUAUCACUGACCGCCGAGGUCGAGAGGGGAAUCACUGCCAAGAGUAACUCCCAGUCCAGGACCUCAACAGGGCCAAGGGGUCGGCAGAAUGCAACAUGCCAUCCGUCUUCCAGAGCAGCAGCAGAAACCAGGACAGCAGGGUCGGCGCAGAUAGCAAAGAGCCUCGGGAAACGGAAUCGUAAAAGCUCUCCUUCCAACCAGGGAUCUAACCAAAACUGGGUCCCAGAUCCAUCGCCCACCGAGAUCCCCAAACUCAACCUAAUCUCGUGCUUAAUGCUCUGGAUAGACUUCCAGAACUGCGAACCAUUCGCGAGAGAGCAUGCCAAGAGUGGUCUGCCUCGAAGGUAUUUGGCCUUAAUCAAUUGAAGCCACAGACCCCCAUCUCCGUGCAGAAUCCGCCAAACCCAACGGAGCAUCAGGGCCACGUUCAUGAGGCGGGACGCAGGAAUGCCUAGGCCCCCUCAGUCUUUUGGCAAGCAGAUGUCUGCCCAUUUCACCAUGUGAUACUUGGGCCUACCAUUCCCUGCCUGCCAAAAGAAUCUAGCCAGUUCCUUGUCAAAGGCGUUGUGCACACCUUCGGGCAGGAUAUACAACCCCAUCAUAUACAUGGGGAGGCUAGCGAGGUUAGAGCUAAUGAGGAUGGAUUUGCUGCCUUUAGAAGUGAACCUGCCGCACCAGGGUUCCACACGGGAUGCUACUCAUCCCACAAGCGGAUCGAACCCGCUAACCAGAAUCCUGGACUCCGCCAGGGGCAUUCCCAAGUACGAGAUAGGGAAAGAAGCCAGCUUGAAGUUAAGGUUGUCUGAAUCCUGUGAUGCUCAGCCUCAGAGUAGCCGAGGACCACCACCUCACUCUUAUCAAAGUUAAUCUUAAGUCCAGACAUUUCCUCGAAGCAGAGCAAAAGGAACUUAAGAUUGGCAAUGUCCGAGUCCGAGCCUGAGACCAUGAUCAUGGUGUCGUCUGCAUAUUGGAGGUGUGACACCCCACCCCCCGGGAUGAGGUGACCAACCACCCCCUGGAUAUGCCCGGCUAAUCUCGCCUUAUCCAGGAUGCCGGCAAGGGUGUCCACGGCGAGAUUAAACAGCAGGGGGGAGAUAGGGUCCCCUUGCUUUACCCCCCUGGAAGCCCAAAAAAAGGGGCCUAGUUCACCAUUGAUAUUGAUGGCGGUGCUACCAGAUCGAACCAGCUGCAUAAUCCAGGUGCACCACCUCUCGUCAAAUCCGCGCCGCUGCAACACUAACCUCAAGAAGGACCAACCAAGACGGUCAUACGCCUUAUGGAAGUCCAAUUUGAGAAUGACCCCCUUCAAUCCCUUGGACGCCACCUCAUGGACAAUCUCGUGAAGGGCAAGAAUUCCGUCAUGAAUCUUCCUACCCUUCAGGAAUGCGGACUGAAGGGGGUGCGCAAUCCGUUCGGCCACAGGGGACAGACGAGUGGCGCAGACUUUAGCAAAAAUACGCGCCACCAUGUUAAUCACCGUAAUAGGCCUAAAUUGCCGAAUCUCUGCAGCCCCAAGUAGUUUGGGGAUGAGGGCAAUGACUCCAUAGUUAAUCCUGCCCAUGUCCAGAGUGCCUAUAUAGAAUUCAUGGAACAUGGGCAUGAUAACUGGGUGCACGGUCUCCCAGAAUUGCUGGAAAAAACCACCGGGAGGCCGUCUGGCCCCGGGGUCGAGCACACCUUCAUAGAAGCGAUUGUCUGGCCAACUUCCUCCGAGGAAAAUGGGAGAGUGAGUUCCGCAUUCUCCACGUCGGACACCUGAUCAGCUAGCGGCCAGAAGUCCUCACAGAGAGAGGAGCCUCCCCGCAGAUCGGCCGAGAAUAACUCCUUAUAGAAGGAGUAAAUAUGGGAUGAGAUGUCUUCCGGCUUUCCAGAACAGCAUCCCCAUCCCGGAGGAAAGGGAUGACACAUUUCCGCCUUCGGCCGUUGGCGAUGGCCUGAAAGUACGCGGUGUUUGCGUCCCCCUUGAGGAGCCAGUUCUGGCCACCUCGACGUUGCCAGAACAGUUCCUCGGAGCUGAAGAUGCCCAUGAGCUCAGCGUCGAGGGAUUAUGUCUGGAUCCAGUCAUCCGGGGACAGACCUGUACCGUCCGCCAAGUCAUCUAGGGUCUUAAUCUGGCCUAGCAAGGCCCCUUUACGGGCCCGGAGAUCAGCGCCCAAGUUAGCACCCCAGCCCUUCAUGGCCUGGCGCGCCAUCUUGGCACAGUGAUGCCAAAUGUCCACCGCACAAUAGACACGCGGCGGGGAGGCGGCAGCCCAAUGCCACUGGUCGCGGACCAACUCGCGGAAACCAGGCUGAUCCAACCAAAAAGUCUCAAAGCGAAAGCGCCGUGAUCUAGGGGGGAGCCUUCCCCCGACGAGAAGAGCAGGGGCGUAUGGUCUGAGCCAAUCUGCGUGAUGGCCCUAAGCCCGCACAGGAGGAACAUCACUUCCCACUGAGGCGACACAAAGACCCGGUCUAGAACACUCCGGACGGGGUCCGCCUGCUUGUUCCACCACGUGAACCUGGCCCCUACGCGAGCUAUCUCACGUAGCGCCAAGUCUGCAAUGCAGUCAUUAAAAAGACGCAUCUGGGGUCGAUCUACAUUCUGAGAGCUUUUAUCAGAAGCCCACCUAAUAAAUUAAAAAUCACCAGCCACCACUACAGGGGUGGUGCACCUAUCCACCUUAUUCUUUAGCUCGGCGAGGAAUUCUGCGGAGCGGGCAUGGUCUGCCGGACCAUAGACAAUAAUCACCUCCCAGCUGAGGUGGGUACGUCGGUCGGUGAUGGCCAUGCUCACAAUGAACUCCCCCCGGUCCAUGUCCUCCACCGAGAACGCCUCCUCCCGAACACCAAGCAGGAUUCCCCCAGAGUGGCCCGAUGCAGGGAGCCACUGCCAGGAGAACUGGUGGCGGGAGAGCCUCUGAAGCUCGAGCAUGCUAAAGUCCUACCGAAUCGUUUCUUGCAGCCCUACUAUGUCAAUCUCUUCUUGACGCAAAUACUCAACAAGUUGCCGCCGCCGGCCAGGGAGGCCGAAGCCCCUAAUGUUCCAACAUAGGAGCUUCAUUUAACAAUCUCGCCUGGAUUUCUAGGCCCCGCAAGCGGGGCCGAACUAGCCCGCCCGUCAACCUCGAGGCGGGGGAGCGCCUUAGAUGGACGACCCCGGUGUCCCCGAGAAGAGGGGACAUCGGAGGUCGCCGGGCCAGAGGAGGGAGCUCCGGGGCCUGACACUCGCUCCUCUCCACGUGUCUCAGUGGGGUUGAGACGGGUAGGCGGCCGCCCCCUGGGCUUCCGGACAGAGGGAAGCCCACCUAUGGGCGGCACAGGACCAACUGCAACCGCUGCCGGAGGUGCGCCACCAGCCCUGGUCUCUCUAUGACCAGGACCGGCGUGCACCGGGGGAGAGGGGGAGUUGGAGCGCGCGGCGAGACAGCGCGCUUCCGCUAACACCCCCUCAAGCCUCUCUUUCGCACAGAGGGCGGAGAUAUGCUCAAGAGGGGGACCUUUCUCCCCCCGAAACACAAUACUACUGUUCGCAGCCACAACAGCCAAAAGGGGCACCAAAUCGCUAGAGAGAACAGAAAACCAAGAACCAGAGCCAGAAGGGGGAGGAGAGGAGGCGUACCUGGGAACAGAUCGCGGGCCGCAGCACGCCGGGCCGCCAGCUCAGGCAUCGUCGGGACGCGGCCGUCCUGAAGGGUCCGGGACUGGCUGAUCCGAGCGCUCUGACGUGCCGACACGAUGGGGGAAGUGCCCUCCCGAGGCCGAGAGCGGGGCACAGGAGGGUACUCGGGCGCCCAACCAGGGUUGACGACCACCGGAGGGCGCGAAUCCGGGGACCCCAAGGUUGGGGAAGGGGGGAACUCGGAGAGCACGAGUAGCAAACCACCCCUGGCGAGCGCGGGGACGAAGCAGGGCAGACCUCCAUACCCACACUCACCUCCUCCUCAGCAGCGACCACCGGGAUAGGGGAAGCAGGGAGAGUGAUCUCCAUGCCUACCACCACCACCGGCGCCAAAGUACCCACCGUGGAGCCUCCUGCGAGCCCCGACUGGCCAACACCCGAGGGGGCGGGGGUGCGCCGACCGCCAGAUGGCUCGGGCGGAGCCCCGACCGUAUCAUCGUCCCCCUCAGAAGAAGGCCCCUCCUCCGACGAGCCCCCCUCCUUGUCAAGACCCCCGUCGGCAGGCUCCAGCCCAGGCGGGACCGGAUCUAGCUGAGCCGCUGAAGCCGGGGACUCGAGCUCGAAGGUCAGACGCCUGCCCUUGGACCCAAAGUAGAAGACCAAAGACAACCCGUCAAUCUCAGCAGGAGCCGGGCAGAGAAUCUCAAUGCGGGCAGGGCCAUCAUCCUCGAAAGAUGCCAGGUCGGCGGUGAUCAGUUUGCCCAUGGGUUUAGAGAUGGCUUUCAGAAUAUGACUGAGCUUGCCACCCCGCGGAGCCGCACUGCCCCCCCUUGGGAGGCCAUAGACGAGGACCCAAACCUUCUCCAAGGGAGGGACGGGGUCAGGCUCUGACAUGGCCGCCUGGACGCUGAUCGGGAGCUGGUUGAGGGGACACCGGAUAGGACCAUGCGAGCAGACCCGGAGUAGCUCGGCCGAGGGGAAGGGGACCGAGAAGACCAGGGGAGCCGUCUCAGUCACCUCCCAUGCGAACUCAGAGCCGCGAAAGUCGCCAAUGUAGGCCGCAAGCUCAUCCUGGAUGAGGUCAGACGAGAUCACCAGGCCAUCCGGGAUAGGCUGCUCGGGCUCCAAGGUGACCGUCGCUAGGUGAGGACGAGCAGCUACCUCCUCAAUCUCCGCAUCCACGAAGUAGAAGCUUCCCCGCUCAGUGCCAUACCCAAGAUAGGCAAGAAUCGUGGGGCACCGUGGGGGAGCCUCACACUCCGAGCGGUAGUGCCCGGUGCACCCGCAGUUGAUGCACAUCGUGUCCUCGCGGGAGCGCUGGCGGGUAGCACGAGCAGGGGGUCUAGAGCCUCAUGCUCAGGAGCCCCCUGAGCUCCUGGCGACGUCAGGCCGCCAGCACCGCCAACAGCCUUCUUCUUCUUCGACUUCAUCUUCUUCUUAACCGGGGUCGGGCGGGAAGCGGAGCAGCAGGCAGGGCAUCUGGGGACACGUGCCUAGAAGGCCCGUCGUCCCGGCACCAGUCCGCACCCGUCGCCCGAGAGGAGCGCCAGUCAGCCCGACGUCCAUCAUCACCGCGCCGCAUUGGCGGCCCGCCCCACCGCUCCCCCGGGCGGUGGUCCUGGCGAUCACGGGGCGGCCCGCCCCACCGCUCCCCAGGAAGGCGCCGCGGGGCGGUGAGCGAGGUCCCGAGCCGGGGGGUAGCGGGGCGCUGGCUCCUCACACGGCUGAGAUGCCGGAGUGGGGCGAGCAACCAACUCUGCACACAGAGUCGCUUCCCGGUCCAGGUCGGCCGCGCGGGCGGCCUCCAGGCGGCGACGGUCCCCCGGCGAACCCGGCAACGGCAGGCGGGGAUCCCUCUCCGGAUCACGAGGGGGAGGCGGACGGCGAAGGGAGGUCCCGGAGUAGUACUCCGGGGACUUCCCCGGCCGGGCAGACCCACCGCGCCCGGAACGGGACGAGGCAGCACCCCCUUCCAUGGCACGGUCACGGGCGGCGGGCAGCGCCUUCAACACCGCGCGAGCCUGGUCACGAGAGGUUGGCGUAGGGAGGAGCCCCUGCCCAGCCGGGAGAGGCCGCUUCGGUCGGGCCUGGCCGUUCCCGGCGUGGCGUGUCAUGAGCACGUCCCGGUAGGAGCGCCGUGGGGAGGGGAUGGGGAGCAGGUCCGGGCGCCGGGCAGCAGACGAGGGCGCGUCGCCGGCAGUGCAGGCGAGGACGGACGAGGUGGAGGGAGCUCUAUGGCUGACGGGACGGGGCGAGCGGGGCCUGGGGAACGGCCGGCGGGACGGGGCGAGCAGGGCCUGGGGAACGGCGGGGACGUCCGCGCCCGACGGGAGAGAGCGAGAGGAAAGGGAGCGGGAGCCCGACCGGAGAGAGCGAGAGAAACGGGAGCGGGACGGGGCGAGGCUGCGAGGUGGCGGUGGCGCACGCUCGGCAGGGUAAACCCUAUCCCCGAGCCGGUCCUCCCGACGCAGGCCUGGGCCGGGACGCGAGCAUGGGGGAGGCCCAGGUGGGCAUCGGCCCACUGCCGGUUAACCUUCUCCAGGACUCGGGAGACGCGGCGGGAGGCCCAGGCCAUCUCGCUAGCUGAGAUGGGCCCAGGCCCCGUUCGCAGCGGCCCAUGGGGAGAGCCGGCCCAUCCGUCCGCCAGCCGGCCAGGGGAGUUAGGGCAUGGGGGAGGGGACUGACGAGGCACUCGGGCACCUCCCGCUGCCGCCGGCACCGCCGCCGCCGCCACAGGAGGCAGGGCACCAGCGCCUGGUCGGGGCUCGCGGGGGCCCUCUCCGGCGACCGCCAUGGGGGACAACCCAGGCAGCAAACCGGCUCGGGCCAAGGAGGGGAGAGGGGGAACCACAGGGGGACAGUGCACCGGCGACCGCCGCCCGACCUCCUUCCCCGGCCGCCGGCGGGCAGGGCGCGCCGCAGCCAGGAACGAGCCGAGCAGCGGCGGUGCCAGGGACACCGGCAGCUCCAACCGGUCAUCACCAUCCGAAGAGGCCUCCAUGUCAUCGGGGUCGGGAUCGUCCGUCCAGUCCGCCCAACGUCGCGGCGACCGUUGGAAGCAGAGGGAGGGCGCCCCCGGCGGGGGAAGCGGGGGCAUCGCGCUCACGCAGCACGCCGGCCGACCGCCGUCAGCGGGCACCGCGCAGCUUCAGGUCUCGGCCCGCCGGAGAGGAGCCGCCCAUCGCUUCUUCUCUUCAGGAAUCUAGUCGCCGGCCCACAAGUGGGGUGAUGAACAAGCUAAUGCGAUUUAAAGUAAUCAUACCUCGUCCUAAGAAAUUAAAAGUGAAUUCAUACUGUGCAGCUAGAAAAAGAAUCAUAAAAGUAUACAAGCGCAUGUGAAAAGAAAAAGAUGAACAACUUGCCACUUCAUAUAGGUGAUCUAAUUAACUAAUUUAGGGUUCGAAUAACUUUGUUUCCCCACAAUCAUGACAAAGUGAACCUUUUGUUGAAAGCCGGAAUUCUGCAAUAAAGCUGCAAUGGUAGAUCUAUUUUUAUCAGGGAAUCUACCAUGCUGAGCUGCUGCACACAAGGCGUUCUCACUCACGAGUCGCAAAAAAGAGUUGGUGAGUUAUUAAAAAAGAAGACAAAGAGGACGAGUGAGUUGCACCAAAAUUAAAUACUUCCUUCAUUUCAAAAUAAAUGUCUCAAUUUUAUACUACCUCUAGUAUAAGAGCAUGGUUAAUAGUAUAGUCAACUGCUGGCUAUAAGCUAUCUUAUAGCCUAUCUUAUAGCUAGCUUGUACAAUAGUUAGCUAUAAAAGAGUACUACUUUUAUUCUAUAUGGCCCACCUUUCAUUUUCACAAAGCACCUACGAGCACGUGCUAGAGCUGGCUCUUUACGAAGAGCCCGCUUCCCUUCUCACUCCUAUUCUCUCUCAUCCAACUCAGCAAAAAUACAGUAUUUUAAUCCUUACAGCCUGCUGACUGUACCUUAUUGUACUUGCUCUAAAGUUGUACUCCCUCCGUUCCAAAAUAUAAGACCUUUUAGAGAUUUAUUAGAAGACUACAUACGAAGCAAAAUGAGUGAAUCUAUACUCUAAAAUAUGUCUAUGUACAUCCGUAUGUAGUUCAUAGUGCAAUCUUUAAAAUGUCUUAUAUUUAGGAACGGAGGGAGUAUUAAGUUUGAGGCGGUUAUAUUGAGACGGAGAGAGUACUAGAUAUACGUAAUCUGAAAUAGUGGAGUACCAAAAUUAUAGGCCUCUAUGAUUAGGAGGAUUUUCAUAAAACAUUUGGAAAGUUGUGAUACUUGAGAAUUUUUCCUUUAUCGCUUAUCUGAUUCGUAGAUUGACUCCUAUAGGAUUUUCUCCUAUGGAUUCCCUUUGACUGCACAUUUCAUGAAAAAAAACAUUAGUUUGCCAUGAUAAUUUUUCACCAGGAUGCACAAAAAAUGAACUAGUUCUGAAAGGUUUAUUGGCUUCAUUUGGAUUUACUUAGAAUCAGCUCAUAUUAGCAAUAAUUAAAGAUGGCCGAACGAUGGCGCCGUCUCCCUCCCGACCCGGGGCCGCAUGCAGCCCCUCUCCCUCUGCCCCCCUCCUCCUGUCGGUGCCCUCGGAUCUGGUCCGGGUGGUGUUGGCGGUGGCGGGAUCUCCAUUACCUGUGCGCGGACGUCCUUCCCGAGGCAGGGGAUCGACGGUGGUGCGGCUCGGCCUGCUGUGGUCCGACGACCUAGAGGUGGUGGCCGGCAGCCGACGUGGUGGUGGCGCUGCUCCUUGGCGGCGGGGUGGCCUAGCGGCACGGGGUGGCCGGCUGCACGACCCCGGGCCAGAUCAGGGCCCAUAAGGCCUCAUCUAGGUCCUAGGGGACUGGCUCUGGCAUGGACUUGCUGCCUCCUGUACAGGGAUGAGGAGGGGCGGGUUGAAAGGGGGGCCGCGAUGCCGACGGUGUGCUUUCUGCAGCGCGAUGGCAGGAGCUUUAUGGGUAUUUGUGGGGCCAUGAGCCUGGUUUGCUCCUGCCGAUGUGUCCGGUCGGUUACUGUCGUUGACGAUGGAAGUCGGACCCUCCCGCAGGCCGCCGGUGUUGCUUCCCCUAGUCCCGACUCUUCUUCUUCGAUGUGCAGGCCUCACUUCUCGGUGUCCUGGUGAGACAGUGUGGGUCGCUUCAAGAUUGUGCUUGCGCAGGGCGGUGGGUGGUAUGGUGGAGUCCUCCGGAACGCCCGUGGUGAUGCGUGGGGAUCGGGACGUACAAAUCCUUGUCGGCCUGUUCGACACCGACACGGUGACGCCUGAGGGUGUCGACGGACCUUCCUGGAGGGUGUCGGGUGCUACCCUUUCUUUGUCCUCGUUGUGUAUCGGGGGAAACCCUUGGCAGCAGCGCAGUCAUCGUCGUGUCCCUUCUUGGAGGUGUUGAUUGGUAUCGGCGCUUCGAAGGCUAGGAUCUUGGUGGAAGAUCUUCGAUGGGCGCAACGAUCGCGGGGCCUCUUCAUUUUUGUCGAUCCAUCAUUGUUGGCAUCUAUUCCUUUUGCAUUUUCUUUUUCCCUUCCUUUUGGACGUGAUUGUGAUGUCUCCGUCCCAGCACUUAUUGAUGGAUAUAUCGGGCAUUUGCUAUAUUAAUAUAGCGAGGCGAACGCGUGCUUCGAAGAAAGAUGGACGAACUUACCAACCAUAUUACUUGUGCUUAUUUAUUUUCUUCUGUUACAACGCACAAACAUAUUUGCUAUUUGAACUAAAUCACAUUGCCAAUUGCUCGUCUAUCAUGUCAAAUCAGAACCACGCAUCUAACCCUCCCAAGAUGUAGAUCGAUCGGUUUUACUCGGCAUUCAUUAUGGAUCGGAGGGAGUACUCCUAGAUCAUAUUCAAAAUUGCUCCACGCCACAAAUAAAACUGCACGGUACAUAUGGUAAAUCUGGGAAAGUGAUUUGCGUGGUAUGUGUGCCAUAAUCAACUGAAUUAUUGGACUAACCGCAUCAAGAUCGGAUCACAUCGAUCCUAUCCCCGUCGACGAGACUGUCCUCGAAUCAAAAUAUUUCUCCAAUGGACGCUCGUGUCCCACGCUCUGAAAGCGACGCCUUUUGUUUUGUCAGUUAAUUUUCACGUCAAGCUCACACCCACGCACGCACCGUGUAGGAUCCACGGCUCGACGCACCUCCCCUUCCCUCCCCUUCUCCCUAUUUAACGAGCUAGCCACCCCCACGCUUUUUGCACCUCAGCAAGCACCAACACACACACACACACAAGAAAUGGCGAUGGCUAGGACGACGACGCUCCUCCUCGUCGCCGCAGCUCUCCUCGCGGCCUCAUGCAGCGCAUGGGAGGUCAACAUCCGCAUGCCGACGUCGGCGGCGGACGUGGACGAGGCGGUGGUGGCGCCGCUGAUCCACGCGCUGCGGCCGCUGCUGGGCUCCGGCAAGCACGCCGGAGUGGCGUGCGACAGCUGGGUGCUGGGGGUGGAGGCGCACAACGUGCGGGACUGGAAGACGGUGCCCGCGAGCUGCGAGGGCUACGUCGGGCACUACAUGCUCGGCAGCCAUUUCCGCCGCGACUCCAAGGUCGUCAUCGACCAGGCCCUCGCCUACGUCGACUCCCUCAAGCUCGCCGGCAACGGCAAGGAGGUCUGGGUCUUCGACAUCGACGAGACCACCCUCUCCAACCUCCCCUACUACGCCAAGCACGGCUUCGGGUACGUACUUACACUCUUGUAUACAUUACAUAGACACUACUGAUUCUACGUGUAGUGCAUGCAUUAGACUUGCUAUUUACUGCAGGUACAUCCGACCGAGCAGGGACUUGCACUCAUCUUUUCACUAAGAUGAAGUGUAAAUAAUCUGACUAGAUAUAUAUUGUAAAAAAUCAACUCACUAGCUAGCUAAAAAAUACCAGCGAGAUCUGUAAUGAAUGAAAAUUGGAAAGCACAUAAGGAUAGAAAUAUUGGAAAUAAAAAGGAAUAUAAUCACUAAGUAGAAAAGUACUUUAAUCACAAGUGUUGGACACUUGGACAUCAUCAUUGCCAGUAGGACUCGGGCCAUAUGUCCCUAGUAUGAAUGGCCAACAAAACAAGAAGGAAACAUACUAUAUUUUGAGAUAGAGAUGUGAUGUUGAUGGGCAUGCGAAUGUGGUGGCCGGGUAGGACCGUAUAUGUUGUCCACUUGGCUACUUUAUGGAAAUGUUCUAAUUAUGUUAUGCUAGUCAACUCAUACUUUCUAAUUAUGUCAUACUUUUGUACACAUACACACUAUUGUAGUGCAUUAUACUCCCUCUCUAUCUAAAUACUUAGAGUUCGAAAGAACUAGGUGCAUUUCAGCAGGGGCUUGCACUGAUCUAUUCGUUCAGAUAAAAUAAAUAUCUUACUAGACCUCGUUCAAAUGAACUCACUAGCUAGAAAGCACUAGUAUCAUAAGAUUUCUAAUGAAUGAAAGUGGGAAAACAAAUGAGACUAGAAGUGGAAACAAGGAAUAUACUCACUAGCUAGAAAAGUAUUAAUUGGACGUGUUGGACACACUUAGGCAGCAUCAUUGCUGGUUACCUCAAAUCAGUCACAGAGACGGCCAUCAGGACCAUAAAUAUGUCCCGCCUAUGAAUGGUCAACAAAACAAGAAGGAAACAUAGUACUAUAGUUUGAGAAUAUGGUGGCCGGGGUAGGACCGUAUAUGUUCUCCACUUGGCUACUUUAUGGAAACGUUUAUUUCCAGCUGUCCUUAUCAGCCGAUACGUUCUAAUUAUGUUAUGCUAAUCGAUUGAUAUUUUCUGAUUAUGUUAUGCUAAACUUAGUUCAGAUGGAUAGUACUCCGAUACGUUUUCAUUAUUUUAUGCUAAUCUGAGUUUAGAUGGAUAUAAUUACUUAUUUUAGAAGAUGUGAGAGGUCAGAACAUCUUGUGCAUAGUUAGUAGUUACAUGCUACUCCCUCCGUUCCUAAAUACAAAUCUUUUAAAAGAUUUCACUAGUGGUCUACAUAUGAAGCAAAAUGAAUGAAUUUAUACUAUAAAAUAUGUUUAUAUACAUUCAUAUGUAUUACUCUAACCUCUAAAAAGAUUUAUAUUUAAGAAUGGAUGGAGUACAACUCUAUUCCUCUUUUCUCAAAUAGUUGAACACUAUUCCUCUUAGUUAAGAAGAUUCUCUUGAACCAAGAUGGAAACUAACUUGAAAUGUAGUAGAAGUCUAGGUGAUAUCUAGCCAACAUGAUGAUACCAGUUUAGUUCAAAACAUGAUUAACUAGCUCCGGAUAGCUUGCUUGUGUAUAUUUUGAAUGUGAUGAGGGAGCUAGUUCGUUGUGAUUUAAAAUAAACUGUACCUUGCCGUAAGAACUUUAAAGUGGAUCUACACUGGGCGGCUGGAAAAAGAUACAUAAAAGUAUAUAUAUGCGCAUCAAGGAAAAAAGAAAGAUCAAAAGCUUAUAACAGCAUGUCUAACUAAUCGAGCGGUUCAAAUAACUUUGUUUCAUCACAAUCAUGACAAAAUUAACCUUUUUUGUUGAAAGUCGGAACUCUGCAAUAAGGUUGCAAUGGUAGACCUAUUUUACCAAAGGAAUCAACAAAGCUGAGCUGCUGCGUACAAAGCUGUGCACGAUGAGAUUAAAUACUACAACUGCGUUUUCGGUCCAACAAAACAGUAGCGUGAUGAUGCCGGAGUGAACCUCGCUAUGUCACAUUCAUUGAUUUACUCCACUUGACCAACUUAAUUUACGACGUCCACAACUACGUACUGCUCAUGCACGUGCGUUACGUACAGAUACAGAGCAUCAUUGCGUUUACGUAUUGCCCAUCCCCUUGGCCAUUUGGCCACUUGGGCCAUAAUCUAGGUUGCCUAUGUUCCUUGGAUAUGCAUAAUUACUACUACUUCUUAGUAGCUGAUAUGAUUGAAUCUGCCAUUAAUCUAUCCUCGUAUACAUGUGCGUGCAGGGCUACACCGUUCAACGCGACCAGCUUCAACGCAUACGUGCUACAGGGGAGCGCGCCAGCCCUGCCGGAGACGAAGCGGCUGUACAACAAGCUGCGCUCGAUCGGCGUCAAGCCGGUGUUCCUCACCGGCCGGACUGAGGACCAGAGGGCCAUCACCGUCACCAACCUCCGCCGCCAGGGGAUCUCUGGGUGGAUGAACCUCUUGCUGAAGCAACCCGGGUUCAAGGGCUCUGCGGUGACCUACAAGUCCGGCGAGAGGCAGAAGCUGCAGGACGCCGGGUAUGUCAUCGUCGGUAACAUCGGCGACCAGUGGAGCGACAUCCUCGGCGCGCCAGAGGGUGCCCGCACCUUCAAGCUGCCCGACCCCAUGUACUACAUCGGCUAGGCCGCCUCUGGCUCGGCCGGGCAUGCUGCCAUUGAUUUCUCGAAUAAGCUCCAUGCUCUUAGUUAUAUGCAUGUUUCGUCAGAUAAUCAAUCCCCAAUUGUUGCUUGGUUCAUUUCCAUUGUUGAGAGCUUGAGAUCAAUUGCUACUAUGAAUUAGACGUGUAAGUGGAGAUGUUGCAUGCUGCUUAAUCAAUGGAUCUUUGUUAUGUUGUUUUUCUUUUUGCUCUAUUACAAGGAAUCCAUGGGCAUUAUUACUAUUUGAUAUCUUGUUCUUAAGUCUUAACUUGGAACUUAUAUUGCUGGUGGUAGAUUUUUCUGUACUAAAUUCUGCAUAUGGUGUAUUAAAUAUCAGGGACACAUAAUAUUGUCACACAUAUGGAAUCACUACUGCUAAAAUGACCAGUUCCUGAACCCAUCUGCUAUUGGGCCCAUUUUGGCCCGUCGGAGGAAGGGAUCAUCGUCGGUGGACAGGCAAAGAAGUGCUCGCAUAGACUCCUUCAAAAAAUGUGCCCUCAUAGACGACGGGUAUUUUCCACUGAUGUUGCGCAACUGGUGAUUGCAAUGUAGUUUGUGUCUUGCAUGUUGUAUGCAUAUGUAAUGAAUGUAACAUCUAAUAGUUAAUUAUGCAAGACAAAUAAAGCCCACCCUUUUCAGUAAGUUUAGAGCUAGAUUUGAGUUUGUCUUGGUCUCAUUUUUCUAAACAUACAAUCCUGGAGACAACUCGGUGAAGAAAUGAUGGUCCAAAUAGGUGUCUAACACGAAUCGUCAUCAAAGAAACCCUAUGGGAACCCACACUAUUCUAGUUACUUGGAUGAUUUGUAAUGAAAGAAAUAUAUGUGUCUUCCAAGUUAUUUUGACCAUGCCAAACAACAUCCCUGCUAAGAUAAAAAACGAUGUGGAGACUUGGAUAAAGGCCGGGCGAAGGAUCUGGGAAACAUUAUGCCAGGAGAGUAGUUCCGUUCUAUUAAUUUAUCCUUGGAUGACGUUUCGCGGAGAGAGGGGAGAGGGCGACCUGGGCGAUCUGGGAGCGUCGGGGGCCGCCGUGGGCAUCGUCGGAGAGGGGGAACAUCGGUACUCCUCCUCCGAUCUCGCAUCCCAGGCGCGGCGCCGGAGCCCGAUCUCGGCGGUGGAGGGACCUACUGUCCGUGUCCGAUGGAGAGUUGCGUACUCAGAGGCUGGUUAUUCGGAUCUGCGUGAGGGGCAGAUUGUUUUUCAUUCGGUUUCUCGUUGGAUGACACUACGGGAUGACGACGACGACAUCCUCGCCGGCUGCCAUCUCCAAGAGGAAGAUCUCAUCUGCGAAGGUGCGCAUUUCAUGGUGGAUAUCUUUUCUGUUACUUGUAUUUCUCCUUUCCUGCAGGUGAAUUCACAAGAACGGAUGCAGCCUGAUUUGGUGGACAUAUCUGACGAUGAUAAGAUCGCCUCACCAAGACUUCUCCCUCGAGUUGGGGGGAGGUUUUGGGUACUGGCUAAAGAUGAAGACGACGAGAACCACGACAUUGCCGUAGCACAGGAGGUCUCUGCUCCUUUCUGCGACCAGGUUUUCCAUCCGGCCACGAGGGAUUUUAUUCAUGCAUUGCCUGAUUCGAAGGUCGUUAAGGUAGUUCAACGCAAGGAGCGAUUGGCGAUUAAACCUUGGAGCGGUCCUCUGCCUAAGGUUCAUCUCGAACCAUUGCGGAUCUCGGACAUCAUACCUUGAGAGGCUUGGACUACUGUUUUGCCUAAGAGGAAGAACAAGGGUAAGAGCCGUAAAUUGCAGACGUCAGUCCCUGACAAGGUGCUGUCGUCCCGUGAUUCUCGCGAAUUACGUUUGAACGAGCCGAUGGCUGUUGUCGGGCCGUUGGGACCGGCGCUCGAGUUGGGCUUAAAAGAAACUGGGUAUAUGGCCCAGAUAGACUCCAAUCUAGCAAAACCUGCAAGUCCUACACCUACGGCUGCCCAGAUUUGCCUUGACGAGAAUCAUCAGGACUUGGUUUCUACGUCAAGUUUGCAUAUACCGAGUUCGGCUCUGCCUAGGGUUCCACGACGGCGUUUGCCUGGCUUCCCUUCGCUCGGGCCGGGUCGUGCAGUACGGGUUCCAGCGCUGCGGUGCAUGGCGGGGCGGGGAAACAAGCAGGCGCUGCCUCCCCCUCGACCACCGGCGGUUUCCCAGGCUGUGGGGCGGACUAGGCAGCAGCCCGUGAUGCCGCCAGGGCGCCAGACGGGCCAGGCUUCGGCUGCACCGGUUCCCGCUGCUGGUCAGGGUUUGCCCAACGCGGCUCGGGCGGAUACUAACAGGAUGCAGCCGAGAGGUCGAUGGGGGGAUGAUGGUGUUAAUGCAUAUGGUGAUGGACAGCACCGUGGAUCCUCUUCGUCUGGAGGAGGACGUGGCUAUGCCUGGCAGAGCAAUGGCAGCGCUGCUAAUGGGUUCGCCGGUCCUCCGGGACAGUUUGUGCCCCGGGUCUCGGGUCCUACUCACCCUAGGGAGGUGGAUAUAAGCAACAUUGGGGAGGGAGAGGUGGUGGCAGGAGAUUGAAGCCGCCCACGCCUCCAGUAGAGGUAGAUGCUGCCAAGACAACGGCGGGAGUACCUUCCAAUGCUCCUAAGGGGAAUACACUGCUGCCACCUGUUUCCGAGGAGGAUCCUUCCUUGGCUGACAAGGGAGUAUCGCUUGCGAAGGCAGAGGGGGGGGGAUAGGCCCUCCAAGUGGGCACGCAAAAAAGAAAAGAUGACAUGCUACCGUUGCAGUGAGACGGGUCAUUUUGUUUCCGAAUGCAGCGCGGAUCUGUGUGACUUUUGCUUAAAGCCUAAGCAUGGCUCAGCUAAGUGCCCCCUUACUGUUGGUCCUAUACAUGUCGUCACUUUAUAUGGGGUUUGCUGCCAAGAGUUGAUGUUCUUUGAAUCUCCCUCUGCUUCAACGUCGUUGCAUGUGCCAGACGCGGCCUAUACGGGGACGGUUACGGUGGCUCGUGGUAAUAUGUCAGCUGAGCAGGUGGUGCAACAGUUGAGGGAUCUUGUUUCAUCAAUGUUUCGGUGGGAACUGGUCCUUAUAGCAGAUAAUGUGUUCAAGGUUGUGUUCCCUACCAAGGAGGACCUAGCUAGACUGCUCAAGUUUGGUAUGUGUCGGGUUCCUAGUACUAGUUGUGUGCUAGAGUUCGAUGCUUGGAAGAAUGAGGAGCCAUAAGGUGUGCCACUUCCUCAGAUUUGGGUUCGUUUUUCAGGGGCCCCGUCAAAGGCUCUAAAUGACUUUCUGGUGACUUGGAGUUUGGGAUCUUUGAUAGGUAAGACUGAGAGGGUGGAUAUGCAAUAUACUCGGGCUAAAGGUGUUGCCAGGAUGAGGGUUAGUGUAAUUGAUAUUGCGCUAGUACCGGAUGAAGUUAUAUGGACUUAUGAUGGAAUGCGGUACACCUUGCAACUCGAGAUCGAGAGUCCGGAUAUGUUCGAGGAGGAUGGGACAGACAAAGAUACCGAUAUGGCUGACGGAGAUGAUGCUUCGGGUUCUAGGGAAUCUGAUAAGAAGGAUCAACAGCCAGUUAUUACAAAGAUGGUGGAUCAACCUACCUCAGGUUCUGCUACAGGGGCUGCUCAACCAGUGUCUCUUCCCUCGACGCAGCUUAGGUUCGGUUCCUUUGAACCAGCCUCGGCGCCAGAGAUUCGAGGGAGGGCUUCAGAGAAGUAUGAGCGGGAUCUGGUUCAUCUUAAGCCGCAAGGAAAGCAAGCAAAGUCAGGGUCAUUCAGUAUUAAAAAUCCUAAGGAAGCUUUGACCGUAGUUUCUCUUGGGGAAUAUUUUGUUGUCGCUAGGAAUGCUGAUACGGGCCGGUCUCAGCAACGUGAUGCAGUGCAGCCAGCAAGGCAUAUGUUGUCCGGGUUGGGUACUGUGCCGAGGGGUGCGCCGCCUGGGUCGCCUAGGCAGGGUUCGCUGCUGCUGUAGAGUCCAUCGCCAGCCACCCAGGGGGUUGCUGUUUCUCGGCCAGCCACCCCUGGGGCUGCUACCUUUUUGCCAGCCACACCGAGGGCAAUUACAGCGACUCCUCCUCCUGGCCUACUUCCGUCGUUGGAUGCUGCUGCGAGAUCCACCCCUGCUGCUGGUUUCAUGUCAGCCGAGAGAUCAACCCCUGUUGCUGCGGUUCCUAUCGCUACUAUGGCUGCAACCGGGGCAUCAUCUUUGCGGGUGUCAGGGCUGGAGGGUACUGGUCAGGGGCACCAUGGCGAGGUCGUUGCACCGCCGUCUGUUGAGCAGGUCAUAGCAUACGGAGGUAUUCAAAGUCCGCUGACUUCGGACAGGAGGUCCAGUCGGCGAAUUCAGAAUCAACCUGAUGCGGAUUAUUUACAGAUGGGACGUGCUAUGCGUGCGGCUAAAAUGAGAGAUGUCGAAACUGAGACAGGUAUGUCUUUCAGCAUUAACGAUUCUAUUCUUCAUUUUUCUCCUCAAGAUAUUCUAGAUAAGGCAGGUUCUAUUGGGGUUACAUUGGGGAACAAUGGCCGAGAAAUUUCGAAAUCUAUUAAUGAUCUAUUAGACUUAGAGGUCGAUAGAGCGUUAGACUUAGUACGAAAUUUAGCGGCAGUUAAACCAAUGCAAGAGUCUGAAGUUAACGAUCUAGGGGGACUGAAUUCUCUUUGUGAUAGUCUGGCCCCGUCAGUGGAUAUAGAGGAUGGUGCGGGCGAGGUUUUAGUUGGUCAAGGGAUGUGUGCCCAAUCUCAUAAGGCUGAGCCUCAAUUCUCUGGUUAUAUGGACCAGGAGUUGCUGGAAAAGCCGAAGCGUCCAUGGAGACGGAAAGUGUAUCCGGUCUCUGCGAUACGUAGAAGUGCUAGAUUUAAGAUUGCCAAAAAAAAUUAUGAUGAUUAAUGAGAGGAAUUUUUUGGAAUAGCAGAGGUCUUUGAGACUUGGCUAAAAGAAGAUUUCUAGCAGAGGCUACUUUAGAGCAUCACCUUGAUUUUAUCGCAGUGAUGGAGACAGGGAGGGAUAACUUUACGUCUCAUUUUUUAAGUUCUCUAUCAGCUGGGGUGGAUUUUGACUGGCACUGUCUCCCUCCAAGAGGAAGGUCCGGUGGGAUCUUACUUGGGGUCCGUUGUGACACUUUUCAAGUGCGGGAGGUGGUGUUUGGGGAGUUUGCAGUCAAAUUCAAGAUUAGAUCUAAGGAUGACGGGUUCCAAUGGGCUCUCGUUGCCGUCUAUGGCGUAGCACAGCCAGAUCUAAAGCCUGAUUUCCUAGCAGAUCUGGUCAGGAUUUGUGAUGACAAACUACCAUUGCUGGUAGGUGGAGAUUUUAAUAUUAUUAGGCGGGCUGAUGAAAAAAGUAGUGUUAAUUUUGAUGGAAGAUGGCCUUUCAUGUUUAACACAAUUAUUGAGAGCUUAGAUAUGAGGGAGACCGCUCUAUCAGGUAGGAAAUAUACCUGGGUGAAUGCUCUACAGAAUCAGACAUUUGAAAAGUUGGAUCGUGUCUUAACUAGUGUAGAGUGGGAGCAGAAGUUCCCUCUAGUAACUGUUAGAGAACUUCAACGCGCAAUCUCGGAUCAUACUCCUCUGUUGCUGGAUUCCGGUGAGGCUAGCCAUAUAGGAAACAAACAUGGAUUCUCUUUUGAAUCAAGUUGGUUCACAAGGGAGGGGUUCAUGGAUAUGGUCGAGAGGGAAUGGAAUACAGAGGUCAGGGGCGAAACCUCUAUAGAAAGAUGGCAGUAUAAGAUUAGACAUCUUAGACAGUAUUUGAGGGGCUGGUCUAAGAAUGUGUGUGGAAUAUAUAAAGAAGAGCAAGAUAAGCUCCUCAAACUUAUAGACAAUCUAGAUCGGAAGGCUGAGAGUUGUCUUCUGGAUGCUAACGAAAGGGAUCUCAAAUUCGAGGCCGGACAGCGCUUGCGUAUUCUCCUAAGAGAGGAGGAAAUGAAAUGGGCGCUUGAGCCAAAGUGAAGGCCAUAGUUCUUGGAGACAAUAACACUAAAUUUUUCCACUUGAUUGCAAAUGGCAAGCAUAGGAAAAAGAAAAUAGUGCAGCUUGAGCAAGAUGAGGGUACAAUACUAGGUCAUGAGAAUCUAAAAUUGUACAUCUCUAACUACUACAAACAUUUAUUUGGUGCUCCUGAGCAUAGCUUUGUGACUAUGGAUGAGCAAAAAGUGGCGGAUAUUCCUCAAGUUGGAGAGGCUGACAAUGAGAUUUUAUCCGCUCCUUUCUCAGAGAAAGAGGUGUUUGACGCGAUAGGGAAUAUGAAGAAUGGAAAAGCUCCCGGUCCAGAUGGGUUUCCGGCGGAGUUUUACAAGCACUGUUGGCAUAUUAUUAAGAAUGAUCUUAUGUCAAUGUUUGCUGAUCUUUUUAGUGGUCACCUUCAACUCUUCCAUUUGAAUUUUGGUACUAUUACACUCUUACCAAAGAAGGAAGGGGCCACGCGGAUUGAACAGUUUCGUCCGAUCUGUUUGUUGAAUGUUAGCUUCAAGAUUUUCACAAAGGUGGGAACAGAUAGGUUGACUAAGAUGGCCCAUUCGGUGGUACAAUCUACGCAAACAGCUUUUAUGCCAGGACGGAAUAUCCUUGAAGGAGUCGUUGUCUUGCAUGAAACUCUUCAUGAAAUGCACUCGAAGAAACUAGAUGGGGUUAUCUUUAAAGUGGAUUUCGAAAAAGCUUACGAUAAAGUCAAAUGGUCGUUUCUCCAGCAAACCCUACGUAUGAAGGGUUUCGAUGAGCUGUGGCGUAGGCACGUCGAUUGUUUUAUAAAGAAGGGAAGUGUGGGUGUCAAAGUGAAUGAUGAUGUGGGUCAUUUUUUCCAGACACUAAAGGGUCUCCGCCAAGGAGAUCCAAUGUCUCCCAUUUUAUUUAACAUUGUUGCUGAUAUGUUGGCACUGCUGAUUAAGCGGGCCAAUGAGAAGGACCUUGUAAGGGGCUUGAUCCCUCAUCUUGUUGAGGGGGGGAGUCUCCAUUUUACAAUAUGUGGAUGACACGAUUCUUUUUUUGGAGCAUGAUCUCAGUAAAGCCAGGAACCUCAAACUUAUCCUAUGCUUAUUUGAACAGCUAUUAGGGCUGAAGAUAAAUUUUCAUAAAAGUGAAUUGUUUUGCUUUGGAAAGGCCAAGGAUGAGCAGCUCACGUAUAAUCAAUUGUUUGGUUGUGCUAGCGGGAGUUUACCUUUUACUUAUUUAGGGAUCCCAAUUCAUCACAGAAAAUUAUCAAAUAAGGAUUGGAAAUGUAUCGAGGACCGUUUCGAAAAAAGUUGAGCUGUUGGAAGGGCGAGCUCUUAUCGUAUGGAGGAAGGUUGAUACUGGUUAAUUCAGUAUUAACAAGUAUGCCUAUGUUUCUCCUAUCCUUCUUUGAAGUACCUGUUGGGGUACGGAAAAGGUUGGAUUUCAAUCGAUCACGGUUUUUCUGGCAAAGUGAUGAGAUCAAGACUAAAUACAGACUCUCGAGAUGGGACAUCAUGUGUAGACCUAAGGAUCAAGGAGGUUUAGGGAUUGAAAAUUUAGAGAUUAAAAAUAAAUGUCUACUCAAUAAAUGGCUGUCUAGAUUAUCUAUGGAGACAAAGGGGUUGUGGGUACAAAUUCUGACGAAUAAAUACCUACAAAACAAGACUUUGGCGCAGGUUACAUUGAGACCAACUGAUUCACCGUUCUGGAAGGGGGUCAUGCGGUCUAAGAAUGCUUUUUUUCUCAGGUCUAAGUUUGUUAUUGGCAAUGGCCAAUCUACUAGAUUUUGGGAGGAUACUUGGUUGGGGGAGACGCCUUUAGCCAUGCAGUAUCCGCAACUCUACCAUAUUACACAAAGGCGUCAGGCGACUGUUGCGUCAAUUUUGCGCCAGGUUCCUCUAAAUAUUCAGUUAUGUAGAGCCUUAAUAGGUAACACAUGGUCAAGCUGGCUGCAUCUAGUGAGAAGGUUGUUGGAUAUUACCCUUACUGAGAACCCUGAUAGUGUUCGUUGGAAGUUGACCACUGAUGGAGUUUUCUCGGUAAAAUCUAUGUAUUUAGAUCUCAUAGAUUCUGUGUCCAUCCCGAAGUCCUUACAUAUUUGGAAGGUCAAAGUUCCACUUAGAAUUAAGAUCUUCAUGUGGUUUGUUCGCAAGGGGGUUAUUCUAACUAAGGAUAAUUUGGUCAAACGUAAAUGAAAAGGUAAUACUAGAUGCAGUUUUUGUGAGAACGAUGAAACAAUUAAACACCUCUUUCUGGACUGUCCUAUGGCUAAACUUCUAUGGCGAACACUUCUUAUUACUUUCAACAUUAAGCCACCCAAUAGUUUAAACACGUCAUUUGGGACGUGGUUAAGAGGGGUCGAUGAUAUAACUGCUAGCCUGAUCCGAGUAGGAUCAUGUGCACUUCUGUGGGCUACAUGAAACUGUAGAAAUGACUUGGUAUUUAACAAACAUCAACAUAUUCACUUUUUGCAGGUCAUUUUCAGGGUUAUUGCCUUGAUCCGCACAUGAUCAUUACUCACUCCUGUGGAAGCCAGGGAGCCUAUGGUUACUGGGUGUGUCCGAUGGAAGAUGGUAGCUCAGGUUAUCUUCAACCGUUUUGGAUGACGGCAUAUUAAUAGGAUAGGUGUUUAGUCAUCUAGGCUUAUUUCAAUGCCUCCCGGUUGUGGCGACGACGCCGUGUAUCUUUUUGUUAUUUUCUUCAUUUACUUAUCUGAAGACUCUUUGUACUUUUCGAGGAUUUGGUUUUGAAAUAAUAUAUGGCCGUAUGCAUCCUUCGAUGCCGAGGCCGGGGCUUUGCCUCCUUUUCAAAACAAAAAAAUUUAAUUUAUCCUUUCAUUGUUAACCCCUUUUUUGGACUGCAGUUAUUCUAACUCUCUUUUAAGUAAUGUAAUAAGGCAUAUCUUUUUCCUCCAUUUCGAGACAAAGUUCGGACCUAGCACAACUGUAACAUCCGCUCUACAUCGACUCACUCUAGAGAGACUAGUCUUGGCACCUUUUGCAGAACAUGAUUAGUGUCCUGACAUGGAGUAUUUUAGCAUAUAAUGGUCAACUCUCAAGCACAUAUCACUUCAAAUUGCAUUGCUGAAAAAGAACAUACACUUGCACGUUUUUCGAACUUUCACGCAACAAUAAAGUAACUCAAUGAAAUAUUAUGAUACACUCAAAAACAAUAAUAAGCACUCAACAAAAUAUCAACAGUUUUAUUUUGAUGGACGUAGUAGGACUGUAUCUGUUGUCCACUUGGCUACUUUAUCAACAUAUUUAUUUCAACCACCCUGAUCAACAGACAAUAUCUAAGUAUGUUAUGCUAAUUGAGUUAAAAUGGAUAAUCCUUAUUUUAUAAGAUGCAAGGAGUCGAAACAUAUUGUGAUUAGUUGCAUGCUACUAGCCUACUACAACACUAUUGAUCUUAGUUAAGAAGAUUAUCUUGUGAUUAGACGAAGUCUAGAUCAUCUAGCCAAGUAUGAAAAUAUUUAAAGGAGCGUGUGGAUACCUUUUCUUCUUUAAUAAAGGAAAAAAAAUUGUGUAUAUAUGCGAGUCUGAAAACAAAGAAAAGAAAGAUGGACAGCUUAUCACAGCUUCACAUAUGUCAUCUACUCCCUGCGUUCCUAAAUAUAAGUCUUUUAAAAGAUUUUACUAAAAGACUAUAUAUGAAGCAAAAUGAAUGAAUCUACAUUUUAAAUAUAUCUAUAUACAUUCUUUAGAAAGACUUAUAUUUAGGAACGGAGGGAGUAAUAGCUAAUUGAGGGGUUCAAAUAACUUUGUUUCGCAAUAAUGAUUGAAAAUCAACCUUUUGUUGAAAUCCGAAACUCUACGUACGGUAGACCUAUUUUUAUCAAGGGAAUCAACAAAGAUGAUCUGCUACAUAAAAAUGCGCGUAUGGUCACUCACGAGCCACAAGGACGAUGCUUGAGUAGUGAUGAGUGAGGUGCACGAUGAGAUUAAAUAUUCCAACUAGUGUAACCGAAAAGUAUAGUAAGUUAGACAUCGUUCUUGGUCCACGAAAAUAGUGGCGUGAUCGAUGACAUCUUGAUGCCGGCCGGAGACUAGGAUCUGGCUGUUUGAUAGGGUACCAAUUAAUUUAUACCCUCCACUUGGCCAACUUACUUCAUCACCAGUCGAUAACUGUAUACGCAUUGUUCCAUAUUCAUGCAUGCACGUGCUUACAGCCCAAGAGCAUUGGGUUUAGCUGGUGCUGUCUGAUCCGCUUGAACUCGUAGAAAAAGGGCCUUUGGCCUGGACCCUUUAGUCCCAGCCUGUCUUUCGGUCGGAACUAAAAGCCGGCCACGUCAUCCCAAAUUAUCAGUUUAACCCGCUUGGCCACCAUUUAUAUCAUUAAAAAACCUCAAAUUUGUAGCGGGGUGAGUUUACAUGUUACCUUGGAUCGCCAUUGUUUUUUUGGCCCUGCGUGUAACGACGAUGGCCGGAGUAGGCUCGUGCAGAUUAGUCCUCCUCUUGGUAAUUAAGGAGUAUAUAUCCACUAGCUAGUGUCUGACAUUCAGAACCUCCACUCGAUGGCCAGAGUAUUUGAUAUUUAUACUCUCCUCUUGGUAAUUAAGGAGUGCAUAUCCACUAGCUAGUGAUCUAAACGUUUCUAUAUUAAUUUAUGGAGGAAAUAUUUAAUAAGGUUAUUACCCAACAUUACAGGCGCCAUCCGAUAAACCAUAUCACUUUUUUUUGCGAGGACCUAAACCAUAUUCAAAAUGCAGAAUUACUGGCACGUGGUGUAGUUUACGGAUCGAGCCUCCUCCUUCGUGGGCACCAUAGUAGUCAUGCAAGACAUCGUAGUUAUAUAGUGGUCAAGUGUGAGUUAUGAUUGCUUGUAUAUUUUUUAUGCGAUUUAUGAGUCAAUAAAAGUGCUUUUAUUGAGAAAUGUAUCUAUAUUGAUUAUUGUUGAACCUGCCAUUAAUGUAACUAUUUACACAUGUGCGGGGCCAUGCCGUCCAACACGAGGAGCUUCAAAGCGUAUGUGUGGGAGGGGAGUGCGUCGAUGCUGCAAUGACGAACUGCUCUUGGUCGGCGUCCAGCCGGUGUUCCUCACCGGCCAGACCGAGGACCAUAGGGACAUCAUCGUCACCAACCUCCACCGCCCGAGUUCAAGGGCUCCACGGUAACCUACAAGUCUCAUGAGAGGCAGAAGUUGCCGACGACCUGGUAUGUCAUCGUGGGCACCAUUGAUGACCAAGGGAACGACAUCCUGGGGGUAUCCGGUGGGGGGCACACCUUCAAGUUGCCCGACCACAACGGCUAGGCUACAUAGAGAUCGGCCAUGCCUUGAUUGAUUUCUUGAGUAAGCUCUAUGCUUUCAAUUGUAUGCAUGUUUAGUAAACAAUCCCUCCCUAGUUGUUGCUUUGUUCAUUUUCAUUGUCGAGAACUUGAGAUCAAUAGUUAGUAUUUAUAAGACGUGUUACGCUAAAAGUUGCAUGCAACAUAAUCAAUGGUUUGUUGGUUUUAUUGUUUCUCUCUAUUACGAGAUCCAUGGGCUAUAUUGUUGUUUGAUGUAUUGUAAUUCUUAACUUGGAUCUGUAAUAUUGAUCAUGGUGUACUUUUUAACUAAAGAUUGUUGAUGGUGGAAUUAGUAUGAAAGGUACAUAGUGCUGUCACACAUAGGGUGUCACUACUCCCAUUUUGGCCCAACAGAAGGAAGGGUCAUCAUUUACGGGUCACCAGACUGCGUUAGUAUAGAGGCAACAAGGUAUUUUAACCAUGCCGAACAUCAUUAUUGUGAAGAUUAAAAAUGAGGCGGCAACUUGGGUCAAUUUUUGGGGUGGAGGAUUUGAGAAACACUAUGCCCCGUGAGAAACUCCGCUAUAUUAUUUAAGUCUUUCGUUUUUAGCCUCUCUUUUUUCGGCAGCGGUUCUUCCAACUCUCCUAGUAAAUAGAAAGGGGGAAAGAAAAUCUUUUGCCUCCAUUUUGAAAAAGAAAAGGUUGAGACUAACAUCCCUUUCCAUCGACCCACUCUAGAGAGUGUCUCCAACCUUGUUUUCUUGGCCCUUUUGCAUGACAUGAGUAGUGUCCUAACAUGGACUCCUUGAUGUGUAACGCUCAGCUCUCCUGACCAAAUCGCUUAGAAUUACAUCACACGCAAAAGUUAUAUACUUUUGCAUGUUUUUCGCACGUCAAUGCAACAUUAAAAAUUUCAAUGAAACAUUAUGAUACAUUUUGAAACAAAAAAGAACUCAGCAAAACAUACUGUGGAAAUAGAAAAUUUUUGCCAACAACUAAAAAAACGCAGUCAUCAAUUUAGCCGCAACAAAAAUAAGAUGUUAGAAGUCAGAACAUCUUGUGCAUGAUUAUAUGCUAUAGGACUAUUCAUUAGAGAAACUAGUUGGGUAAAACUUUCUCCUUUUUCCGAAUCUCCUUUUUAAUGUGGGGAAAAAGCUAAUGCAUUGUGGUUUAAAGUAAAUAUUACAUCGGCCUGGGAAAUUUAAAAUGAAUCUAGACUGGACGGCUACAAAGAGAACCAUAAAAGUAUUCAAGCACGUCAGAAGAAAAGGAAAGAUAAAAUUCAAAAAAGAAAAGAGAAAAGGAAAGAUGAACAACCUAUCACUUGCCUCAUAUCUUUACCUAAUAAUAAAGAGGCUAUUGCUUCCGUCGAAAAACCCACCGCUGCCGUUUUUUAAAAAGCCCCCUGUCUUUUAGGUAAUUAAACCCGCAGUACCUUUUUAUGUGUUACGAACAUGAAAACGUUUCAUUUUUGCAGGGAGCCUCCCAUGGCAUUGGAUAAGAGAAACGCAUCUGGGCUGACGAAAACGCACGAGAGGGCUAUCGCUUCUGCCCUCAUAAUCCCACAUCGAUACUUCACAGAUAAUUUCAUCACUUUAUAUACAUGCGCCUUGGUGAUUUUACAAGAGGCAACGGAAAUCAAGAGAGGAACAAAUUCGAGAAGAAGAAAUUGAGAUGACGCAAACAGAGGUGGAGCUGCGAGACAGAGGGGGCUCGGGGCGAAGGAAAGGGUCGGGCGCCGGCGAUGCAUACGUGGAGGUGGGGGCGUCGGGGUUAGAGGAUUCAGGCAACCGGCGGGGUAAGUCUUGCCGGAGACUGGCCCCAUAGGCCGACCUCGCAGCAGCACACCAUGGGAGGUGGUCGCGAGGUGCAGAGGUGGGAGGCGGUGGAGGAGCGGAGGAGGAGGCGAGUGCGGGCGCCAUUGGAAGGGGGGAGUCGGGGAGAUUGGGGAUCCUGUGGGGCUCUCUCCCCUAGCGGCGCGAGGUGGAGGAGAGGAGGGGGGCUGGGGAUCGGGCUAGGUUAGGGGAUUUAGGAGUGGGUAAGGCUAUGCCUUGGCACGCCUAAUGGGUUGUGCACUACUACUCAUCUCUCUUUCCUUUAAUUUCUUUAUCUAAAUUCUUUAAUUAAAAAUAUGUGGUAUUAUUUUUUUUCCGUUGCAACGCACGGGUCCUUUUGCUAGUAUCAUCUAACAAAUCGAGGGGUUCGCAUAGAUCUGCUUCGCCACAUAAUAAUAUAAUCAUGACAAAAGGCUACCUUCUGGUGAAAGCAGAAGCUCUGCAAUAAAGCUGCAAUCGUAGACCUAUUUUAUGAAGGGAACCAACAAAUCGAGCUGCACAAUCCAAUUAAAUACUAAUUCCUCCGUUCCUAAAUAUAAGAUUUUUUAAAGAUUAUAUUAUGAACUACAUAAAAAGAAAAAUGAAUGAAUCUAUAUUUUAAAAUAUGUUUAUAUACAUUUGUAUGUAGUUCAUAGUUAAAUCUAUAAAAGGUCUUAUAUUUAAAAACAGAGGGAGUAUAAGUACUGAGUAAGUUUGACAUUUGUUCUUGGUCCAACAAAACAGUCGUGUGACCCAUGACGAAGCGGCGAUGCCGGAGUUGGAUCUCACUGUCUGAUAUUUAUCGAUUUGUGCCCUCCACUUGGCCAGCUUAAUUGAUCACCAGUCUCUUUCAUUGACAAUUAGUGCUGCUCAUACACGUGCGUUGCAUACAGAUGAUAUAUUGGGUUUAGGUACGGCUGUCUGAUCCACUUGGCCACCUUCUCACUAGAAAGCUCAAGUUUGCAGCGACGAGUUUGCAUGUUACUACAUUGGAUCGCCGUUGUUUAGCCCUGCGUGUGUGAUGAGGGGCGGAGACCCGGAGCAGACCCGUGCAGAUUCGUAUUCCCUUGGUUAUGUUUUAUUCUGUAUAUUAGGUUUGUAUAAUGUAAAACCUAAAUUUGCUUCGCCACAUAAUAUAAAAUAAUAUAAUCAUGACAAAGGCUACCUUCUGGUGAAAGCAGAAGCUCUGCAAUCAAGCUGCAAUCGUAGACCUAUUUUAUGGAGGGAACCAACAAAUCGAGCUGCACAAUCAAAUUAAAUACUACUCCCUCCCUUUUUAAAUAUAAAAACUUUUAAAAAUUAUACUAUGAACUAUAUAAGAAACGGAAUGAGUGAAUCAAUACUCUAAAAUACUCCCUCCGUUCUAAAAUAGGUGUCUUAACCUUAAUACAAUUUUGUACUAGAUCUAGUACAAAGUUGAGACAAUUAUUUUAAGACAGAGAGAGUAUGUCUAUAUAUAUUUAUAUGUAGUUUAUGUUGGCUUUGGAUCCGUAGAUUAAUUCACCCAGUAGCUACCACAUACGUGCAAGCUAGCCUCUAAGCUAGCAAGCAGGCACACAAGUGGAUGGAUAUCCAAUUCGUAGAAAUAGAACGACGUACGACGAGCUAGCUAACUGAUUCGAUCGUCUUGACUGCUCGGAAUGUAACUCGUUGAAAAACUGAUCGAUGGAUUGCUAACAGGCUCGUAUCGAGCCUGGUACUUUUUUAUUGCGUUUUGAUCUCUGGUGUUACAAGCAACAUCUCUAGGAUGCCUUUUAUACACAUCCACAAGGAACUAUGAAAAUAGACUAGGACUAGGUAUCCUAAUACUACUAGAACUCGGUUUGAUUUUCUUUCCUAAUCCUAUGUGUACAAGGCAACGUGAUUAACUCACAUUCACCCCCUAAUCACGAUGUCCUUACUUCCGACCUGGGUCCCAAACACGAUUGCUGCUUCUCAUAAAUGUUAUCAUCGACAUGGCCUUUGUCGUCCCUUGCAACAUUUUAUGGACCGUCUUUACUGUCGUCGGCUCGUCCGUAGCUCGAUGACAACACUCCUUUUUGGUCGUGUCUUCAAUCUUCAUCUCUUCUUCGGUGCUUUGUAGACUGUCCUUCGGAUCAUCGAGGGUACAUCUUUUGAACCUGAGCGUGACCAUACUUUGGUCUAACUUUGAAUUUCAAGCUCUUGGCGCUUGCAUCAGCCCGUAACUUUGAACCACAAGGAAGAAGUACUUCUUUCCUCCGUGAGUUGCUGGGGUGAUAGGGCCACAUAGAUCACCAUGGAGCAGCUAGAGUGCAUCACUUGCACGAUAGGUAGACUGAGCAGGGAACGGCCUGCGGUGCUGUUUUCCAACCAAGCACCCGUCACAUACUCGAUCAACAUGGUCGAUAACUGGCAUCCCGGAUACCAUCUCCAUCUUUGACAUCUUCUUCAAGGCGUAGAAGUUAACAUGUCCGAAUCAUCAUCACUCUUGGCGAGCCAACACUCCAGUUGAGAUUGAUCAAGGUUGAGGAUAUAGAGCCUGUUCCGUGUGCGAGUAACACGAGCUAGCACGUUUCGGAGGUUGUCGAAGAUCGUCAUUACUCCGUUAUCGAUACCCACCUUGCAUCCAUUCUCGUCAAGCUUCCCAAUAAAGAUGAUGUUGUUGUGAAGCCGUGGGAUGUAGUACACUCCGGUAAGUAUGCGAUGUUCGCCUGUGAGACCCUCGAAGAGGACAGAUCCUUGCCCACAAAUCUCCACAUUUGAACCAUCACCGAACUUGACUGAGCCUUCAACAUCGUAUUCCAGCUCGAGGAAUUUCUCCUUGCACCCCGUCAUGUGGUUACUGGCACCCGUGUCGAGAUACCACAACACAUUCUGAUCACCAGCUAACUUCGGUGUCACUUUGUUUUCAUGAAGUAGCACCUUCCGGCUUGGUUUCACAACCACCGUUUCAGCGAGAUCACAAACUUCGGCCAUCAGAAGACCUGGACCUUCGUCUUCCUCCUUUGCCAAAUUUGCCUUGAUCUCUCGCUUGUCAUGCUCCGGACAAUCCUUUGCAAAGUGACCCAUCUCGUUGCAGUUAUAGCACUUGACCUCGGACAUAUCCAAGUUCCGUUGCUUCCGCCCUUUAGAUCGGUCAGCCUUACCACGACCUUGUAGCUUGCCUUUUCCUUUGCCUUCUCCGGUUUGUCCGCCGCGCGUUGUGCUGCUUGAGCCUUCGUUGCCAUCACACCUUCCUUUGCUACUUGGGGACUCCCAAUCUGCACGUGAGUACAUGAGUUGGUCACUACCUCCUCCGUUGCCUUCCCGACAACUACGAGAAUUCUCUUCCCACGUCCGCAGGCGUCCGAUCGCCUCCGUUAUGGUCAUGUCGUCGAUGUCGUAAAGCUGCUCGAGCGUGCCAAUGAUGUACGUGAAUUUUUUAGUCACCGAACUGAAAAAUUUCUCCACAAUCUCGGUCUCCUCGAGCUUUGCACCAAGCGCGCGGAUCUCUCCCACCAAAGUAGUAAGACGCAUGGCAUAGUCGUUCACCGAUUCAGUUUUCUCCAUCUGCAACUUGUGAAAUUGGCGCUUCAGCACUUGUGCCCGAGCCUUGGUGACGCGAUCUUCUCCGAUCCUCAUCUCGUUGAGUGCGUUCCACGCCUCUCUUGCCGUCUCGAACUCCACCAAUGUCAUCAGCACGGAAUCCGGCACAGACUGGGCUAUGGCGGCCAUGGCACCUUCGUCGCGCUCCUCGUCGACGUCGUCGUCCGUGAUGGCCUCCCACACUCGAAGAGAUCGGAGAAUAAUCUUCAUCUUCACCGCCCACACGUCAUAGUUGGCAUCGGUGAGCAUCGGGUACUGGAUGGGGAUGUUGCGAUGCGCCUGGACGUUGGCGCUGCUCGUUCCUCCAUCACUCGUUGCUGACUUGUCGUCCUUCUUCACCUUGUCGUCGUUCUUGUUCGCCUUGGCACCGCCUUUGCCGGAUUUGACCGACUCAGCGUCGCUGUCCGUCAUCGUAGAUCGUAGAUCGUCGAGGCUCUGAUACCAAUUGUUGGCUCUGGAUCUGUAGAUCAAUUCACCCAGCAGCUACCACGUACGUGCAAGCUAGCCUCUAAGCUAGCAAGCAGGCACACAGGUGGAUGGAUAUCCAAUAGAACGACGACGAGCUAGCUGACUGAUUCGAUCGUCUUGACUGCUUGGAACGUAACUCGGUGAAAAACUGAUCGAUGGAUUGCUAACAGGCUCGUAUCGAGCCUGGUACUUUUUGUAUUGCGUUUUGAUCUCUGGUGUUAUAAGCAACAUCCCUAGGGUGUCUUUUAUACACAUCCACAAGGGACUAUGAAAAUAGACUAGGACUAGGUAUCCUAAUACUACUAGGACUCGGUUUGACUAUCUUUCUUAAUCCUAUGUGUACAAGGCAACGUGAUUAACUCACAGUUCAUAGUUGAAUCUUUAAAAGGGCUUAUAUUUAAGAACGAAGGGAGUAUAAGUAGUGAGUAAGUUUGGGACACGCCGUUUUGGCUCCCGGACUCAGAUGAGCCCGAGCGUAAACAGUACGCCAGUUUGGGGUGCAAAAAAUGUUCCAAAAAAUCAAAAAAAAUUGUGAUGCAAGAUGCUCCUAUGUGUGAACUCUCUGUAAAAUUUUGUGAAGUUUGGACAUACGAGGAGCUCACUGCAAAAAAGACGAAAUUCAGAUGUGUGAGAAACUUUUGAAAAUCACACUAUUCAUGCCUGAUUUUGUCUUUUUUGCUGCAAACUCUUCAAAUGUCCAAACUUCAUAAAAUUUUACAGAGUUCACACAUCGAAGCAUCUUGCAUCAUAAAAAAAUAUUUUUUUUAAACUUUUUUGUAUUCCAAACCGUUGUACUGUUCACCGGGCUCAUACGAGCCCGGGCUCACAGAUGGAUUACCGGUAAGUUUGACAUUUGUUCUUGGUCCAACAAAACAAUGGUGUGAUCGAUGACCAAGCGGCGAUGCCGGAGUUGGAUCUCGCUGUGUGAUAUUUAUCGAUUUGUGCCCUCCACUUGGCCAGCUUAAUUGAUCGCCAGUCUCCUUCAUUGACAAUUAGUGCUGCUCAUACACAUGCGUUGCAUACAAAUGAUAUAUUGGGUUUAGGUACGGCUGUCUGAUCCACCUGGCCACCUUCUCACUAGAAAAGCUCAAGUUUGCAGCGACGAGUUUGCAUGUUACUACUCCCUGUGUACCGAAAUAUAAGACCUUUAAGAAAAAUUCCGACCAGAUGAAAAUGUGGACAAUUGACCAGGUUACCCCCCACCUCCGGCAGCUCGCUAAUUUCAAAUCAACCCAGAUCCAGUCGCCCCCCACCUCCGGCCAGCUCGCUAAUAACCCAGAUCUCACUACUCUGCUUGUCCGCUCCCUCCUCUGCCCCAGCUUGUCCGCUCCCUCCUCUGCCCCAGCUUGUGCGGCCCCUCCUCUGCCCCUACCUCCUCUGCCCAGCUCGUCUGCUAGCUACCAGCAGCUUCUCCAGUAGCCAGCGGCAGCAGCUCCUCCGGCAGCUAGCAGUAGAUCCAGCAGCUCCUCCACCAGCCAAUAGGAACUCCAGCAGCUCCUCCACCAGCUAGCACGAGCUCCAGCAGCUCCUCCACCAGACACCAGCACCAGCUCAUCCACCAGCCAGCGGCAGCCCCUCUGUCUGCCGGCAGAAGCAGCUCUUCCGCCUCUGCACUCCCAGCUGCCUCAACGAGGUCCUCUCCCAGUGAUGCACCCAUCGCCCAACAGAUCGCCGGAGGUUUUUCUUUUGAUCCAGGGUGCAGAUCGCCACAGGAGGUCCUAGUGGUGUUGGAUCCUGCUUAUCCCGUCUCCUGCAAACCAAAAAAGCAGGACAAUUAGAGGGUAUUUAUCACAACUUAGCAACAGUUGAACAGAAAACAGUUUAACAACAGCAGCAAAAAUUUUAGCGAGAUCAACAACAUCAGUAGCAGCAUCAAGACAUAGCAACAAUAGCAGCAAUAGGGAGACAUAGAAGUAGCGACAUGGAGUGGCAGCAGGAGUUCAUCAAAAUCAAUAGGGAGUAGCAGCAGCAGGAGUUCAUCACAAUCAAAAUCAACAGGGAGUGGCAACAACAUGGAAUUUGACCUCAACUGUACUCCGCCCGAAGAAGAUGAGAUCAGUCAAAAUGAGAUCAACAUGGAGGACUCACAGGGAGGCAAUGAUCAUGUUGAAGAUGAGAUCAACAUGGAGGACUCACAGAGAGGCAAUGAUCCUGGUGAACAUGAUAUGAACAUGGAGCAAAUAAGGGGAGGCAAUGAUCCCCACGAAGAUGAUAACAGUAAGCACAAUAUACUCAUUUAGCAGUAACAGUGUCUCAUUUACCAAGUUUUUGAAAAUGAACAGCAAGUCUAGUUUCUGAAGAUGAACAGUAACUCCACUUUCUAGAAAUAAACAGUAAUAGUAACUCAUUUGAUCAUUUGAACAUGUGACCAUUUAAAUAUUUUAUCAAUUUAUCAUUUGAUAAUUUGAGUAGGACUAAUAUUUUUUCAUUGUUGUGUUUCUUGUUGCAGUUCUUGAGCAAGGAGUUAGAAAGAGGAAAACUCUGAGUGACCAACAAAAAUAUGCUGCUUAUGUGGCAUUGCACAUAUUAUGUAUGAGUAGAGGUGGAAAGUUCAAGAUAACGGAUAAGAAAAACCUUGCACAUUUUUUUAAUGUAGAAUUGAGGAGUAUACAAAGAGUUUGGCAGAAGGCGAUGAAGCAAAUUUCAGAAGGUUUCGAGGUGGAUGUUUCCAACCAGAAAAAAGGAAAUGUGGAAGAAAACCAAAGGACAUCAACCUAGAGAAAAUCCCUACAAUACCACUCAAUAGUAGGUCUACUAUCAGAUCAUUAGCCUGGCAACUGGGAUGUAGCCCUACCACUCUCCACAGGAAUUCAAAAUGAAGUUGAUAAAGAGGCAUACAAACUGUGUCAAGCCAGCUCUAAAGGAAAAGAAUAAGAAGGAUAGAAUGAAAUUUUGCUUGUCAAUGCUUGAUGAGGCAACAACAAAAACUGCAAGGCCUAAGUUCAAGACUAUGCAUAAUGUUGUACAUAUUGAUGAGAAGUGGUUUACGAUGACCAAGAAGAAUAAAACUUAUUAUCUGCUGGAUGGGGAGGAAGAGCCUACAAGGCCUAUACAUGGCAACUGUAUUGGCAAGGUUAUGUUCUUGACGGGCGUAGCUAGGCCACGGUGGGAUAGUGAAGGAAAUGUGACCUUCUCUGGAAAAACCGAUGAACUCACGAUAAACUGCGUGCGCUCUUUGUCCCAGUUUCAGUUCCCUUGUUCUUGCUUUUCUAUAUCCCGAUGAACUCACGAAUCCAUGAUCCAUGGUCAAUCCCCAAUAUAUAUACUCAAGCAAUAUACUCUCUCAGCAGUAUAUAAUCAAUCAUACAGGAAAGAGUAUCACUCUCUCAGCAGAAUACAUACUCACGAAUCCAUGGUCAAUAGCAGCAUAUACUCCGUGUGGGGAUUAGUCUAGCUCGUAAGCCACGGGUCCAAAUCAAGCAAUAUAUCUACACUAGAAUCUGUAGCAGAGUACACAUCUGACAAAACCGAGAGAUGUGGAGAGGAAGGGGGUAAGAGACGGAAGGGUACCUGGGUGAGGUCGCUGAGGUGGAAGCAGCCGGUGGAGCGGUCGAGGUCGCCGCUAGGGUGUCGCCGGUGCACUGGAGCUCUGCCAACUCGUCCCCAACUCGACGCCCAGCUCGACGCCCAGUCCGGCGCCCAGCUCGAUGCCCAGGUCGACGCCGUCAUUGCUCGGGCUCGGCUUCAGCGCCUCCUUCACCCUGUCCUUGCUCGCCCAGCUCGUCGGCUUCUUGGUCUCGACGAGGCUCCCGCUGAAGUACUCCACCCCCGCCGCCGCAUAGACGAGCAACCCAACUGAGGGCGCCCGCAGCUCCCGCUGAAGUGAUCUGCUAUGUCCAGCACCACUCCGUCAUCCAUAUCCAACAUCGGCGCCCACACCAGCUCUGUCGAUGCAAAACAAACACAUUUUUGACCUUUGAGUGGGAAAGGAAGGAGAGGAAGCACGCAGUGGGAAAGGAAGGAGACAACACACGCGGUGGGCUGUGGGAGGAAGAACGCGGUGGGCUGUAGGAGGAAGAACGGUGGGCUACGGUGGCCGGCGACGACGUAGAGAGGCGACGAGGGAGGGGAAUGAGAGGGUGUGAGAUCUGGGCAGCGAGUGGAUGAGAAUGGGCAGGUGGGGGCAUUUUCGGAAACUCGGAAAGUUUCGUAGUGUCGCGAGAUUUACACUAGAAUCGCUAAAACGUCUUAUAUUUCGGUACAGAGGGAGUACAUUGGAGCAGACCUGUGCAGAUUCGUACUCCCUUCGUUUUUAUUUAUUCUGUAUAUCAGGUUUAUAUAAUGUCAAACCUAAAUCCUUUUAACAAAUUUGUAGAAAAAUAUAUCAACAUAAUCCCUUCAUUUCACAAUUUAGCGCUCGUUCGUGUGCUUUUCGAGAUCUAAGUUUGACCAUACCUUUAAACAAGAAGACCGAUUGCUAUGGGAGCAAAAAUUGAAUCACUGAAUUUGUAUUGAAAUUAAAUACUGAAUUUGUAUCGAAAAUAUAAAUUCAUUGGUAUAAUUUCUGUUGCCACCGCAGUCGGUCUCGUUGGUGAAAUUUAUGGUCAAACUUAGACCUCAAAAAACGCGAGCGCACUACAUUGUGGAACGGAGGGAGUAUACACCAUCAAAUCAAUAUCAUUGGAUUCAUCAUUUCAUAUAUUUUCACAUCAUAUAAAUUUAUUAUUGUAAAUGUUCAUAUCGUUUUCUACAAAUUUCAUCAUACUUUAGAUAGUUUGACUUCAGACAAAACUAAUAUGAGGAGUAAAUAAAAUCAGAGGGGUACCACUCCUAGUAAUUAAUGUGUAUAUCCACUAGCUGCUGAUUGACAUUCAAAUUCUCCACUUGACGAUGGCCAGAGUAUCUGAUAUUCAAACUCUCCACUUGGCCACCUUAUUUCUUCUCCCCAAAUGAGCUAUGAACUGCUCAUUCAUCCAACAUUAAAAUCACUGUGAUGAAACUCUACUCUUUCAGUUUCAUAAUUAGUGCAUAUAGUUUUUCCCCAAAAAACUAAACUUUGACAAAGAUUAUAAAUAAAAAGUCUAUAUCUAGCACAUUGAAUACAUACCAAUAGAUUCGUCAAAAAUAUUUGCAUAUAUUAUAUGAUGGUAUUGUGGAUAUACAUAGAGUUAUCUAUAAACUUGGUCAGAUUUUACAAUGUUUGACUUUUCUAUAAAACCAAUAUGCACUACACUAGGGGAUGGAGGGAGUAUCGUAUGAAAUAUUAUGUGGAAUUAUUCCGUUUCAGACAAUGUUUGGUAUCAAACACAACAGGUACAAUGUUCUAUAGUUUCUCCAAUGUGCAGAAUUAUUAGUUGAAUUGGCAAUUAUUUACAGGAGGGGAGUGCGCUGGUGUGACCGAAAACUAAGUGGAUCGAUGUAUAACAAGCUUCUUUUGGUCGGCAUCAAGACGGUGUUCCUCAUUGUCCGAAUCGAGGACCGGAGUGCAGUAAAUUUUACCAAUCUAUGAUGCGCUCUGGGUGGAUGAAACUGCUCCAAAAGUUGCCCGAGUUCAACGACUCUGUGGUGACCUACGAAUCCGGCGAGCGGCAGAAGUUGCAAGACGUCAGGUAUGAUAUCGUAGGCAACAAUAGUGACCAGUGGAGUGACAUCCUCGACACACCCAAGGGCACCCGCACCUUUAAGCUUCCCUACCCGAUGUACUAAAUCGGCUAGGUUGAAUGCUAGCUAAUCGUCCACGAAUAAGCUCCAUGUUGUUCACUAUCCAUGCUUUGUGAUUACCUUUUUUCCGGGCAUGCUUCCUCAAUACUAAUCCACUAUUACUGCUAGUUUUCUAAUUUCUAUUGAGAAAUCUAUUGCUGCUUGGUUAAAUUCCAUAGUUGGGACCUUGAGUCAGUUACUAGUAUUAAUAAGGUAUGCUACAAAGAAAUUGCAUCUUGCAUAAUCAAUGAAUCGAUGCUCCAUUUUUCCUUGAUUAUAUAAUAUAUGUAGUUUCUAUUUUACACUUUGAUUUAUUUAUUUUUUACUUUUAAUAUUUCCUUUUUUUUCAUUUUCUAGUUUUAUGUUUUAUUUUUUUAUUUGAUCUCCCUUAUGUAUUUAUUUUCUUAUUUUAUUCUUUAGAAUGCUUUCUAUUUGUAAAAAAUAAUGAAUUUUUCCAUACCCUAAUAGUUAAAAACAAUUCCGGGAUAUUAAAAUUACGAUGAACAAGGUCCUAAUAUACGUCGAGAUUUUCCCAAAUACCUGAUGAAUAGUUUUUAUAUGUUUAAGUACAUUUAUAAUUUUGUAAUUACACCAUCAAAUUUAAAUAUAUUUUAAAUAUUUGUUGAAUGCACAAAAAGCAUUUACUAAAUAAUUCGGAACAUUUGCUAUUACAUUGUGAACAUUUCUAGAAUACACAUUGAACAGUUUCCAAACCAUGAUGACUUUUCUAAAUAUGCAUUAUAAAAUUUUCAGUUACACGAACUAAACUGUUUUACCCUGAAUUAUUAUUAUUUUUAAAUUUGUUUUUUCUUAGAAUUAUAAAUAAAAUUAAAUUGAAGUGUUUCAGAGUAUAAAGGACAGAACGGGUAAAAACAAUGACAGAAAAAAUAAAAAUUGCAUUGGGUCGGGUCAUUGUGGAAUACUAUGGGCGAGCCCAAAGGAGUGUUCAUUACUGGUGAAUUAUAGUAGCAACGUGAGGGAAAGUGUGCUUCUCAGCCCGAGCUCAAAUGAGCUCUGGUGAACAGUAAAAUCCAAAAAUAAUUAAAAAAAUAUGAAAUUGUUUGGUGAAAGAAAUUGAAAAUAGUCGUAACUGCCUCCAAAAUUGUAUUAUGAAAUAACAUUUAUUGAAGCCAUGGAGAAAACAAAAUCGAUACUCCAAAAUGCUUUUGAAAUUAGUAUUUUCAGAGUAUCGAUUUUGUUUUUUUGCCACAUGUCACACAAAUGUGAUUUUCUGAUGAAAUCUUGCAAGAUAUUAGAACUUUUGCCAAUGUUUAUCACAAAAAAAAAUAGAUUUUUCUGGAUUUUUUUAAUUUAGUUUUGAUUUUACUGUUCAUCAAAGCUCAUUUGAGCUCGGGCUGAGAAACUCCACAUCCCAACGUGAGCGCCUAUUUGGUGUCGUGCUCAUUUCUGGUAGCCGACAAACUGAGUGGUUUUGUGCGUGACGUAAAAGACACAAAACAAUCAGGGCACUUCGAAGGAAUCAACGUUGUGUCCUUUCACAGGGAAUGCGUGAUGCUAGUUGCUGGCCACUCGUGCCAACAAUUUUUGCUAAUAGAAACACAACAACAAUGUGCAGGAAAUUACUGCAGCGGUGAAUUCCAAAUAUUUUCUAAAGUACACAAAUAUUUCAUCAAAUCUGAACGUUUUUUGAAAAAUCACAGUAUUUUUAAGAUGCCCAAUAUUUUUUUUAACUUUUCAGAAUAUUUUAAAUUUCAAACUUUUUUUUUAAAUUGCCAAACAUGUUUUGAAUUUGUGGACAAAACUUUUGAACAGAGAAACAGUUUUACAACAUCUGAAACCUUUUUUGGAACGCAAUAAGUUUUUCCAAAUUUCCAAGCAUUUACAGAAAAUGGAACAUAUAUUGACCAUUUCCAAACAUUUUUCAAAAACAUGAAUACUUUUUGAUUUAUGAACAUCAUUUCAAAACAGGAACAUUUUUUGAUAAUUCUGAACUAUGUUAGAAAAUGCGAACAAUUUUUGGACGUUUGUUGAGAACCCAAUCAUUUUUAGAAGAAAAACAAUUAUUAAAGUUUCAGACAUUUUUUUACUUGUGAAGUAAUGACCAAAGAAAACCAUAAAAUGUAAAACAACCGAAAAUAAGGAAAAAAGGAAAGAAAAAGUUGAAAAAAAUAAAAAUAUGAAUAAUAAAAAAUAAUAAAUUCUGGAAAGCAGUGAAAAAUAAAUCACAAAACGGAGACCAGUUUAUACGUCCUGCUGCUAUAUGACAAAGUAAAAAAUCUAAAAAGAAAAUCCCACAACAAAAGCUAUUUGACAUACCGAGCGUCAUAUAGAAAAUUCAAACAACAACCACCACAGAACGCUGAUACAGAUGACGGGCAGGUGGAUGUUUCUCAGAAUCAGAUUUUGAAGAAUCAUGAGGCGAAAAGAACUGGUGCCUGCAAUCGGCCGUGGCAUGUACACAGGUGCUAGUAAUGAUAUAAAUCACGGAUAUUGAUUUUGAAGGUCGAGCUCCAUGGAGGUCUUUGAAUGCAAAAUUCAAAAUUCAUGAAAAUAUUUUUUUUUUAUAUUUCGAAAAAUUCCGUAACAAAUACAGAGAUAGAUGAAGGCAUAAUACACAAGUGUGUAAAUUUUUAGGACCAAAUACGUUGAAAUAAGGCUGUACAAAAAAGGCAAAUCUGAGGUUGUUUAACACAUGAUACUAUUCAUCCUCUCGGAACAUGAUUUUAUAUUUUUAUACAGGUUGCAUUUCAACGUAUUUCAUCCUUGUUUAGUUUUAUAAUUGUUUUCAAAAAAUCUGAGGAUGAGGCAUAUGUCUCACAUCCUUGUUUAGUUGUAUAAUUGUUGUAAGAUUUUUUUUUUAAUUUUGAACUUUUCAAAAAAUCGGCCUCGGCCAAAACGCCUUUCUCUAUAAAUCGUGAUUUGUAUACUGGUAAGAAGAAUGAAGCAAUGCAUAUUCAACUAAACAAACUACAUAUUGUCUUGAAUUCACUCAUUUGGAAUCUAGCUAGAAAGGGUGCUUUUUAGGUGCCCAGAUUUUUUAAUUUUUUUGAGGGAAGUGACGAGGUUCUUGGGAAGAAAAGAUUUAACAGAUUCAUUGGUUUUCACAAAGAGAGCAAAUCAAUAUGAGCGCAGAAGCAAUCGAGUUUUGCCAUUAUUAAGCAACAACAUGACAUACAUGAUACAACUAGAGGUACAUAUAGCUAAAUUAGCGGAAGCCCUUUGUAUUGGUACUGCUCGCCGAGCUCCGCGAGCAGAUCGUUUUCCGCCUUGAGUAUGUCGCCCAUGUUGUCCAGCAGGAGGUACUUGUCCAGCGAGAAGCCCGACUCCGGCGAGAUGAGCGCCGCGACGUUUCUCAGGAACUCCUCGUCUAAUGGGGCAAGGGGCUCCCACUUUUGUCCCGACGUCAGCAGCGGCUUCUGAGGUCGCCGCCUCACGACCUUCAUUUUCUUCUUCUUCAUCGUCAUCCUCCUCUUCUCCCCUCUUGCGGGCGUCGGCGACUUCGCCCCCGCCUCCGUGUUCUCACACGAUGAACUCGCCAUGAUUCUUCUCCCGUCCUUCUUCCGCUGAGAAGAUUGGUCUGCUCUGCUGGUUUCGCAGACUUGCGUGCUCGCCGGCACCGGUAUAAAUACAGCAAAAAUAAGAGAUCGAUGAUUCAUUUCUUGGCUAGGGGAGCAGUUCGUUGUAUCCGACUCGUAUUCAGUCCACGGUUCCGGUUCCUACUCCCGCAUGGUCGACGCAUCGGUUGGGAUCCUAAUUGGGACGGCCCAAUGGUAGGUUAUUUUAUAGUAUUUUUAUGUAUAUUGUCUAUAAGGACGUUACUGCAUCAAAAAGAAAAGUAUAAUGGCUCUGCAUCUAGUCUAGUUGCUGAAGCGUGUGCGUCGAACAGCUUCCCCAUCGCUUAGUGACAGUUCAUGAAAUCGUGUGCGAUGACCAUUUCUAUGGAUUUUUUUUGCAUGAUAAUAUGUGUCUCAUUUAUAUCAUAAUGAAAAUAAUACAAGACCAUUGUUGUGGAUUAUAACAACACAUAUACACAGCCAAAUACAAACCCUACGGUCUUGGUCACAAUAUAGUGGUACAGGUGUCCAUUAGGACAUAUGUCCGUGUGUUGCAACGGAAAAAAAAUUAAUUUGUAUUUGCAAGCACAACACGUCAUGCUCCGCUACGAAAGAACGCUAGUUACCACAUGACCAAAACGACCAUCGAUGCAUCACUACAUCCAGAGAGUGUCACCACCUGCAGGGAGGCGCACGUCAAAGCCUUCAACAAACGCGGGGACUAUGUUACUCCCUUUGUCAGACAUUAUUAGGCUGGUGGACCACUUAGCCUCAGCCGGACAUUAAUCAUGAAGUGAGCCUUAGCGCAGAUGGUAAAGAUAUCUUCAACGUGACGAUGUGGCGUUGUGGCUCCCUGGCCCAGAUCUUCCCACCAAUGAAUAGUAAAAUCGACAAAAAAUAGAAAAAAUGAUUUUUUUUUUUGGAGUGCAAGAUGUUCCUUUGGGUGAUGUCAAAAACUGCUUGGAGCUGAUUUUUAUUUUUUUUUGCCAGACGCUCCUCGAAUGUCCAAAUACCUCGAAAUUUUGCAGACAUUUUAGCAUCUUAUGAGCCAAAAAGGAUUCAGAUUUUUUUGAUAUUGUGCUUUUCACCGGAUGCAGAUGAGCCGGGGACCAUUUUGAUUAUUAUUAUGGCUAAUCUAGUUUAAAUGUGUCAUUGUUCAUGUAGCCCACAAUCAUUUUUUCUUUUAUUGUUUGAACACACCACGUCCUUCAUUUCUUUUAAAGGUUUCCUUGCAUGUCUGCUCGUCGUGCAGUUCAUUCCUUUUAAUUGUCAUUCCUUUUAAUUGUCCGCUUUUAGCAUCCAUUUUUAACUGUCUUGCUGAUAUUCCAAGCAAACCGCAAGGUAUAUAAACCGGUAGGGAUCUAUCUAAAGAGGCAAGGUGGGUUUAUUUAACAUAAAAUAUUGAUGUCGAGUUAUUUUUAAAAAAACAGCCUCAACUUUAUUAAUUAGAGAUAAUUGUUACAUCGUCUAUUAAAAAAGAUACAAUAUUUUCCAAAGGCUCCUCAAUCCACUCACUCGUAUCAGAACUCUUUGCUAAUCUAGCAAGCUCAUGUGCUACUUCGUUCGCUUCUAGUAAAAAAAAUUCAGAAGCCAUAGAAAAACAAUCCUCAAAGGUUGCAGCCGCCGCUCCCGCAUAGUACCCUCCCUUGUUCAUUGUUUCAAUUACUUCCGAGAAUAUUGAUGUAGAGUUGGUUAGUGCAGUUGCCUUACCCUGGACAUGGAGUAUUGAGUUUAAUCUUCCAUAAAUACAUAUUUUUGUACACGUUGUUCGUGGCCCAUGGCAGACGGCCCAAUAUUGUAGCGAAGCCCAGCAGUGCAGCAACCUGACAUGGUACGAUAGAUGGUGAGGUGUAUGCGUGCUAGCAACGUAAGAAAACGGCCAGGGAGAGGCAAUGUAUGUACAAUAUUUUUAACCAUGGAUUCAAGCUCGUAAAAUUUUGAGACUUUUCCAUAAAACUGUAUGACAGACUAAGAAUACAUAUUUUCUUAAUUAGUAGGUAUAGAUGCGGCAAGUGGAUUGUUUCCUGGUUUUGGGAAGUUUCCAUAAGCUUUUCAGACGGUUUUUCAUUUUUUCUAUUUUGGGGUUUUCCUGUACCAAUCUUGUCUAUUUUUUAUUUUCUACUUAUUUUCAUUUUGCUUUAUUGCAUAUUCUUUUACUUUUUUUCAUUUUCCUUUUUCUAUUUAAUUUUGGCAAAACACGAAUUGUUUCAAUUUUAUGAUACUUUUUUUAAUUGAGGAACUCCUUUUCGAACUCGUUUUUUCAAGUUCAUCAUUAUUAUUUUUUAAAAUUAUCACCUUUUUAAAAAAUAUAUGAACUAUUUUUAAUGUUUGUGAACGCUGUCUCAAAAUUGAUGAACUUUUUUCCUAAAUGCUGAAGUUUAUUUUAAAACUGAUGAACUUAUUUUAAUAUUUGAUGAUCUAAUUUUAAAACCGGAGAAUGUUUUUGCAAAAUAGACGAACUGUUUUUCUAGCAUAUGUACCUUUUGAAAAUUCAUGAACUUUUUUUCAAUUUUUGGGCUUUUUUUAAAAGUUGAUGAGCUUUAUUCAAAAUCGUGAAAUAUUUUCCAUCUAUGUGCAACCUCUUUUUUCAAAAUCAUGAACAUUUUCGAAUUGAUGAACUAUUAACAGAGAUUAUACGCAUGACCUUUUUUGAAUUCGCAAACUUUUUGUUGAAAUAUCUGCAUUCUAUUUGAUUUUCUGAUUAUUAUUUUCAAGCUAGCGAGCGUGCUCGUGGGCUCACCCAUGCUAGCAAUGGUGCGAGCUGGCACUGGCGCAAAACGCGUCAAUUAGGAAGAGCAACUAAUUAAGGAGUACUCGUCCGAGAGCCUCUCGAAGGGUCCAUUGCCACGUGUCGUACUCUUGGUGUUUCCUUUGGAUUUUUUUCUAUACAUAUUUAUGUCUGGAAUUUUGGCUUUAAGAUGAUUUUGUUUUCCGGGUUUUUUUGGCUUUUCCGUUUACCCCCGAUUUUUCUUACAAUUUAGACCCAAAAAUAAGAUUUUAAAGAAAAAUCACAAAAAAAUGCAUUUUCUCUUUCUUUUUUCCUACCCUGAGAGACAUGGAUUUGCUUCUCUUAGAGGCACAUGUGCCUCCUGAAAAAGCAAAAAAAAUGUUUUUUCCUUCCGCGAGGCAAGGUCGUGCCUCUCAGAAAAGAAAAAAGAUCCAUUUUUCCUUUCACGGAAGUACGGAUUUGCUUCCCUGAAAGGCCUAGUCGUGCAUCUUGAAAAAGGAAAAAUGCAUGUUCUCAUGAAGGAAAACAACGUGGUUUUAGUUUGGUUUUUUUGUUUGAUUUUUUCGUGAAAAAAAGUCCAACGAAACAUAUCAACAUGUGGUCUAGUUUUUAAGAUCUCGACGCAUGGAAUCUAACGGCAAAACCAGUUCUAGAUUUGGACGUAGGUUUUGAGAGAUAAAAUGUUUUGAAUAAACAAAUCUGCGAAAAAGGAAAAACCCUUAGGUUGCUACAAGUGACGCACAUGCAGUUGAAGACUUGUCGCACCCUGGGUUGGGGGAGUGAUCUUUGCCAAGAGUAGUUUUCAAUUAGUGAUUUCGCUAAUUAGAAGCUCGCAUCAUCUCCGAUGCGAGCACUAGUGGAUCAGCCCAUGUGCGCUCAUAUGGGUUUUUUGGAGCGGCUUUUGGAAGCUUCUAUGGAGCUGUUUAGACAAAUUUGAAAACCUUUCAUUCAUUUUUUAUGUGUUCACUAUAUAGAUUUACAUGGACUAAAGUAAAAUGUAGAUUUACAUUAUUUUUUCCCUUAGUUUUCUUUGUGUGUUUUUAUUCAUUUUUUGAAUACACAUGGAAUUUUUGGAAAUACAGUUCGAAUAUUUUUUGUUUACAUGUUAUUUCUUUUAUACACGUUGAUGAUUUUUGUAGACACAUUUAAGUGUUUUCCAAAAUAAACAGUAUUGAUUUGUCAAAUGAACAUUGGAUUUCUUAUGAAUAUAAGGUGAACAUUUAUGAAACACCCAUUGAACAUUUAGAAAAAUUCCAUGAACAUUUUUUUCUUAAAGCAUGCAAAACAGUUCUUAAUGUUAGAACAUAUUUUUUAAUGUCAAAGACAUUUUUGUUGAAUGGUACAAAAUAUUAUUUAAAAUUACAAGACCAUUUUUACAUACUAGAAACAGUUGUGGAAAAUGUUAUGACCAUAUUUUUGAAACGGCUGAAUAUUGUUUAAAUUUCAUAAAUAUAUUUAGAAUGGUAUGUCAAAAGUUUAAAAAUAUGUGAAUAUUGUUUCUACAUUGUAUAAAAAAUUUAAAAACUGUCAUGAACAUAUUUCUGAACACAUGAACUAAAUGUCAGGAACAUUUUUCGAAUGGUACAAACAUUUUUAAAAUUGUGGAGACAAUUUAUUACACUACAUGAACAUUUAUUUGAAACACGCAAUGAACAAGGGGUAAGGGACACGUGUCAUGUGCUUUGCUAGCGCAUCGUGGUUGCUGAGUGUCUCAUUCCUUUGUUGUUGAGUUUUGUUUUAGUGCGGAGUGUUUUUACAGUAUACUCGAGAAAGAUCCUACGUUACGAAGGAUGUGUUUGGUAGGCGUUUCUAGCGGGACUGGCUCGUGGACAUUGGCUCAACAAAGUUUGGUUGAGAUAAAACGAUCAUAAAACUAACAUCUGCAUUUAGUUUGGUUGCCGGCAUACAUUCUAAACUGAAUGGGGUGUCAUGAAAGACAUACUAUUUGGUUGUCUGUUUGUGUAUGCGCAAACACAAGGCCUACUAUUUGGCUGCAUGCAACACUUGUUGUGAGAUAACCUCUUCGAUGCGGUGGUGAGGUUACCAUCACAUAGCGGCGUCAGGAAGAACACACAACAUAACAUAGUAGUAAGCAGUUAUAAAUAUUGUGUCACAUUUAAAUAGAUUAGUUUAAAUGCAAAGCAGUUCAAUAUUAAACUAAAGCAACUAGAGCAUAUGAGCGGUUGUCCUAGACGUUCACAACGAAGGCAUCGUCAUGUCUCCCGCACCAGGCCACCACUUUACUGCCAUCGUCAUUGAAGACGAUGACCUUCACCAUGUCGGGAGUCAUCAACUGUGACCAUGAAGCCUAUCUUGAUUUGUUGGACGGCGACGAAGGUGGCCCAAACCUGGUCGAGGGUGACCCUUUCGUUCAACAGACGGACAAUGACCCUCCUAGAGCACUCGGUGUUCGCCUUCAAAUUGAACUCCUGUGGCAUAGACGGGAAGUGCUUCAUGAAGUCGAGUGGCAUAGGUAUGGCCUCGAGUGGCAUGAUUACCUUGCAGAAGUUAUUUGGCUCACCCAUCUCAUGGUAGUGGUCGUAGUUCUGACGCUUGUCGCUGGGGGGCUCCUCCGCGUAUCGUUGUCCGUGACCGGGCUCUGGACAGGCGCCACCUUUGAGGGCGGCACAACAUCCUUGCACUUGUAUUGCUCCUUUGGUGGCACCACCUCAUUGCCCUUGUUCUCCGUGUCGAUUUGCAGUGUGAAGAGGUUCAAACGAUUGGGUCAGGAUUUGCAAUAUGAACAUUGCAUCAUUGUCAUUAACUUAUUGUCGAGAACCCCAUUAUUUACCUAGGCUGAUGGUUACCACUUACCCACCACCUAGUUGUUUGUCUCUCUUCCUCCAACCCAAUGCCAUGAACUCUAAGAACAAGUCUAACCCCAUCCGCAACCCCUUUCCUUGGGGCAUUGGAUGGAGGGCCUUCUUCCUAGGGUGCUCGCUCGAUGACCGCACCAAGUUUGAGAACACCAUGAAAGUGUGUUCAAACUUCAACAGCUUGGAGGAGCAGUACAAAGAGUAGGACGCUAUGGUGAAGAAGGCGAGUCGGAGGAGUUGAAGACGCUGAUCAGUGACCCAAUGAAGGGUUCUAUGUGAGCCGACAUACUUCAUUGAGCCAUGAAUCAAGCCGUCCCCGGCGACGCUGGACAGAGGGAAAACUGAGCCAAGUACAGACAGCAUCGGUGUUCUUAUGACCACGGGGCCGCAACGUACUUCACCACAAAGAUUAUGGUGGUGCCGGUGGAGGAGCAUCAAGAAGUGCUGGCUAUGGAGGUGGAAGAGGAAGAUGCAGUGGCGACGAUUGUGAGGGCGCUGGAGCUAGGACACCUAAGCAUGCCAAUCAAGUUGGACUCCGGCGAGGAAGAAGAUAUGGUGGUGUAGGUCGAGGAGAAGACCAAGGCCAAGGCUACCCACCGCUCCAAUCGCCUCCAGGGUCCUGUGUACUAUGUAAGAUGAACCCUAAUCCCCAUUCCGAUUGUACUCAAUCCUGAUUGGGAACCUCAUAUCUACCCGUAGUCAUGACGAUGUUAUGACCACUCCUAUGGUGUUUACCCCGAUUCCCCAUUCUCCUAACAUGGAUCGAACCUAAACUCGGAUCAAAUGCAAAGUAGUACAUGAGGAGGGGGGAAAGUGCUUACCGCCAUUGCCGAAGUGCUGCUGUGGAUGCCGGUGAAGAGGCCGGAGUCGAUUUGCUGUUCCUCGAUCUGAUGCACGCCAUCGCCGCCGUCGGUGAGAGUAGGGAGAGUGGAAAGAGAGCGGUGAGAAAAGGUAAGGGUAAUGACUGUCGACGCUUCGGGAAACAACGCGGCUUCUCAAGGGUGGCUCCCCUUGUGCAACCCCUGCCGCCCACGUGCAUCGCAGAGGCCUGGCUCGCGAGAAACUACCAAUUCGAACGUGCCUCGCGAGACAUACCCAGACAUGCUUUAAAGUUCGUGACAUGCAGGCCCAACAAUGUAUGUUGACAACCAAUCAGUUUGUUUUCUUUCCACGGGCCUGGUUGGACCUUAUGCGGGCAACCAAACGCAUCCCCAAGUGUUGUUUAUUUGUCGGAAUUUUCUAAGGUACUGGGCAAACGACAUGUGUACUGAGUGCCCAUGAAAUUACACCAGGCAAACUGUAAAAUACUCAGCGUAAUUUUUUUCCUGUAGUUGUACAAUUGGCUGCGCUGCAGUUCCAAAUUUGAUAAAGUUACAAGGUUGGUGUACCAGAAAUUCAUUAUCUACCAAUCAUCAAUAUGUAUGCACAAAACAGUUGCCUGUCUGGGCCUUUGUAUCAACGUCCAUCCAUGUGUAACACGUUCAGCGGAACCGUCUACCAAACGUCUGACAGACACAGACACGUGCAUAUCCUCCAAACCGGGCAGGCUGGUUGCUUGCGCCCUCGUCGCUUUCUUGUCGAACUGGCUCCAUAUAUAGACUAAUGCACACCACAGUUCAAUUUCCAUUUUCGUUUCAGUCAUCGUACAUAUGACUGCAUUAUUCAGCUAACGUUUAAGCAUAGGGAUUUUUAUUUUCAUGUCCCGUCUUUCUUAGUUAUGAUUAGUUUUGCCCCGUUCAUUUAACAUUGCUCACUUUUUUCCCUUCUUUACUCAUCUACGCCUCGUAAAAGAUCAAACGGUGUGUUGACAUUGGGUUAGACCAGGGGCGGUCCUCAGAUUUUGGGGGCCCGGGGCUGGAUUAAAAGCCGGGGCCCUUAAUAUAGACAUAAUAACAAUAACACUGAAUAUACGUACCGGUGAAAUAUAAACACUUAAAUACGUCUAAUACUAAUAUGCAUAUCAAAUGUUUUAAAAAUAUUACCUCAAACAAUAAUUCUGACAUACCUUGAUGCAAAGGCCAUUAUGAUGGCGUCGAUGUUAAUAGCGUCCAAUAAUUUCUUCUCGAUGACAUAAUGUCACCAGACCAUAUAAACACUCUUGGUUCAUCGGUGACCUCACAUAGUUCUUCAAUCAAUAUUUCCAACUUCAGAGAGCUUCUUCCGACCAAUACGAUAGUCACAGGCAUAGUAAAUAGGAUGCAAUAAGCAAUGGAAAUAUCAGGAUAACAGCCAACUUCUAUUGACAUGCUGCAAAUCUCCAUUGCAGAUAUUACAGUCAUAUGGCAGAAUGAAUCCCACAAUUUUUAAUUUAGAAGUAAGAUCAUACUCCCUCCGUUCCUAAAUAUAAGACCUUUUAAAGAUUGCACUAUAAACUAUAUAGGAUGUACAUAGACAUAUUUUAGAAUAUAGAUUCACUCAUUUUGCUCCGUAUGUAGUCUCCUAGUUGAAUCCCUAAAAGGUCUUAUAUUUUAAAACGGAGGGAGUAUAUCUCAACAUCAUGAUACACAAUGCUGACAAAUAACAUUAAUUGUUGAACAAUAUCGAUGUACCGGCGAUGCAUCUACAGAAGCACAAUAAGAAUAUAUGAUAUACGUACCUCGGAUGGCUGAAUCAGCCAUGACGGAAAAUCAAAGCCGGAUUAUAGGACGCCCCGACGAAUUGAAAUCGACGGCGCGCAGCUGAUGAUCUAAAUUAGGAAAGAAAUUAGGUUUGGGAGAAAAGUAGAAAGGAGGGUCGAGCACGCAGUGGCGAACAGACGAUGCGUCGGCGGCCGCUAGGAAUCGCUGCGUCAAUGCGAGAUGGAAUAGGAAGGGAUCAAUCACUCCUAUUUUUUCGUGAAAAAACGGAAGGAACGGUUGCUGCCUUUGUGCCUCGCUGGACUGCUGGGUGCAUGUUUGCCUGCAUGCUACGUGAGGCCCAGUCAACCAACCCGAUAGGUCAUUUUUUUCUGAUCUGUAAAAACAUUAAAUAUGUUUGGACAAAGCCUAUGUACAUACGUGGGGAGGGCCCCCUAAACUUUGGGGGCCGGGGCGGCCGCCCCCCCCUGCCCCUCCCCUCGGCCGGCCCUGCGGUUAGACUACCAACAAUGAAAGUAACAUAGGUGGUAACAUAGAUAUCAUCUAAACAACAAAUGUGAUGUGGCAACUAAUUAAAGAAAAGUAAGAGAAAUUGAAUAACUUAGCAUGUUACUCAUAUUAGGAGUAACAUAGCGGAUACCAAGGCAAGAUGGGUGUAUAGGCUAAUAAAUAAAAGACUCAAUGUUACUACCCCUAUGUUACUAUCCACUAUGGAGGUAGUAACUUAGAUUAGUAACAUAUGUAUGUUACUCCCCAUUGGUCUUUCAGCGGCGUUCAGAGACUCCUUCAUAUUAUUAGACAUAAUUAUGUCUAGAGACACAACACACGAGGCUAUACGUAAAUCACCCUUAGAAUACCAGCGAGCUCUCGUUUAACCUACGGACCCGAUGGGCCAUGUUAAGACUGGUAUGAAUACCAGCAAGCUCGCUGACAAGGAUCCGACGACUCCAUUACCCCUCGCAUCGCUUAGAGAAAAAACCCGAUACAAGUCACCCCCUUGACUUGAUCUGGAAUUAUCUGCGAGAUGCCAUCUAUGCUCUCAUCUAUCAACAAUUUCAACACAUGUUCUGCCGGAGUUUUGGUGCUUGGAAACCAUGAGCAAACCGCUUGUCACUUCUCCCGUGAGAGAGCGUCACCGGCACAGAACACCUCCAAUGGUUUCGUGAUUGCCGAUGGCGGCUGCAGGAUUGGGGGAGGUAGGCUGCUCGGGCUGCGGGGGAUGCGAAUUGAGAGAGAGAGAGAGAGAGAGAGGGAGGGAGAGGGAGAGGAAGAGAGAGAGAGAGAGAUUUCGUCCCCCUUUUUAGGACAAAUGACCCAACCAUCCACUAGCCGGUCCCACAUGUCAGCAUUUCAUGUCAGUCCCAUGCGUCCACGCGUCAACACCGGACGAAGUAACGGUCAACAGUUUUGACCCGACGGUGAGGCAUUGUUUGGCCUUUUGCGAGACGGAGGCGAGUAGAGGAGGGAGAAAAGUGAGUAAUGUUAGACGGACGAGGCAAACUGAGCACAACUAAGUAACGAUGGACGAGGCAACUUACGUAAAACCAGCUACAAUUAUAAUAGCUUUCGAUGUACACCCGUGUGAUCACCAGCCAUCUAACAACCUUUGCCGACAGUUGUCCUUCAUCCACAAAGACAACAUCAUCCAAAUAAUUCACUUGCAAUCCAGGUUUCUCUAUCAUCUCUUUGGACAUUGUGAUAUUUACUAAUUCCCGAUCCAGAGGUCUCAUACGCCAUGGCGAUGUCAUGACCAGUCUAGGAGAAGAAGCACCUCGUAAACUAGAGCGGAACAGAACCUGGGUUUUCUAGGCAUGGCCUCUCGAUAAGAAGUUGAGAAGAUUAUGGCUGAUACAUGGUGAGAUAGGAUGAGGUGUCUACGCUGCCAUACGACAAAACCCUAGUAACAGGGGAUGCUUUAUCUGUGUUAUUUUUUAAUUAAAUCACAUGAAUAAUUGGCCGUGUGUAUGUAAUUCUAUAUUAAUAUAAUAGGACACAAAGAGGCAGGUCCAUAUCAUCUCGGCCAACAAAUCUAAGAUUUGAUGGUUCAUGUUGAGCACCAAGAGACGAAAACCGCUCGCGUCGCCUCCAGGGGGCGACACGGGCGCCCUAGCCGCCGUCGCCCUCGACCUCCCUCCUCCCCCGCUUCCCCGCCGUUGCCGGAGGAGGCCGGCGAGCGAAGCUCGCCCGGCGGACGACGGACGGCGGGCCUUCCUCCCUUCUUCACGAGGGGGUCCUUUGGCUGAGAUGCGACGGCGCCCCUGGGGGUACAACAUGGAGGCGGAGUUGGCGUGCUCGGGCGGCGUGGGAUCCCGGCGGCGCUGCGGGGGCUGGCGGCGGCGGAUCUGGGGUUCCCCACCCCAGAUCGGUUCUCCUCCGGGUGGUCGGGCUCAGGCGCCGUCCAGCGGCCCUAAGCGGUGGUGGACGCGCGCGUUGACUGUCCUCCUUCACAGAUGUGAUUGGAAACGACAGGAGGUGUUGGCGUGCUGCUAGAUCUGAACAAGGUGAUGGCGUCAUCCCCUUCAUCAGGGAUGACGACCAGGUGGUGGGUUCUUGUGGCGUCGCCGGUGGCGGCGGAUCUUGGGAUCCAGUUCCCGGGGACGUCGUGGGAUGUGGUGGCCCGUGCAGGAGAGAUGGGUUCUUCGAACAGAUCUGGGUCAAAGCUUGCUUUCGGCUAUUGCUAAGGUCGGCGAUGGCGGCGCUGUCUACAUCGUUCCCUUCCUGAAGGCAUCGCCGAGGAGAACUUCAGGGCCACUCUCUGCUACCUCCUGGGGUAACCCUAGAUCAGUAGAUCGGAUGACGGCGACGCUCUGGUGUCAUUUCCCCCUUGGGGGCGUCAUUCAUGGUGGUACACACGGGCUCGAGGGACCAUUGGUCGGCAUUUACGAUGGAGCAGCGUUCCUAGUGACACAUCGACGUUGUGGAGUCUCGGCGGCGAGGCGCGGCAAAGUCUCGGCAAUGAAUGCAUGAUGAUGAGCACGCGUAGGGAGGAGGCGUUGUCUGGCGCCGUGGGGGCAUCGAUGGCAGGCCUUGCAAGGUCGAUGCGUCAGUAAUUUUUCUGAAGAUGGAUUGAUGGAAGGCGGCGACGACGACCUAUGAGGGUGCGUCGGACCGUUUGUGCCCCUGACCCGGUAUGUGGCUCUGUCGGGGCCUCCGGCUUUAGAUGUUAGGCUAGGUGAGAGGUCUGGGUAUGUGGCUCACACUUUCUGCACCCCCUUCAUCAUUGUAUAUGAGUAGCGACAGAUGUUGCCAAGAGGACGGCUUCAGACAUACGCUUAACACUCUAGCUAAUUGACCACCAGUAGCACGGGAGAGGUGUUUUGGCUCCCGGGUAUAUGCACUCGGAUGAACAGUACUGCGAAAAAAGUUCUAAUUUUUUUUGUAGAUGAUUGUAUUAGUGUCGCAAAUAUGCAUGACAAUUUUCGUGCGAUAAGGAGCAACGGUGUUUCAUCAGCAAAAAAGACAAAUUUAGGAUGACAUUUUGGGGUAACUUUUGGUGUUCAAUUUGUUUUUCUUGCACAAACCAAAAUGUUUUAUCUUUUUGUCUCAAAAUUUACAAGUAGUAUUUGGAUGUGACAAAGCAUACAAACAAAUUUUGUCUCAUUUUUUUCCAUUUCAAACUUUUUUUUGGCCCCGAAAGCAUAUGCCGGGAGCCGAAUUGCAUUUCCGCCGGUAGCACUAGUUACAUACACACUAGACUCCGCGCAAUCCCAUGAAAUCUGUUUGGCGAUUAACAUACGGCUAAAUAUCAACAUGCAAAUAUUAUCUUACCAAAUGUACCAAAUGUGUAACUAGUAUCUUAAUUCUACUCCCUUCAUAAACUAAUAUAAAAACAUUUAAAAACAAUGCUUUAGUAAUCUAAACGCUUUUAUUUAAUUUACAAAAGGAGUGCUACCUAAUAUCAACAUGCAUUGCACCAACUCCCUUCAAGGUCUAAUGCGUUUUUAGGGUUGCCCUUGACUAUUGAUAAGAUUAAUAAUAUAUGAGAUCUAUGAUAAAGAGUCUUUUCACAUCCGAAUUUGACAAUAUACCUGUAACAUGCAAGUUAUAUAUAUAUAAUUGCUCUAACCCGUGGCCAAAGGAAAUCUUGCAAAAUGUAUCGGAUGAAGGGAGAACAUGAUAAUACCAGUCUAACAAAUAUAUCCUCUCCAAUCGCAAACAUUUAUCCCCUUGGAUCACAACCAUGCAUACCCCUUUUGAGUACUCCCUCCGUCCCAAAAUUAAUGUCGAGCAUGUAGUUCAUUGGGAAUUUUGCAAAAAAAAACCUCGUAUUUACAAAAUCGUCUCAAACAAGCACCUCCACCCCUAUCUUCUUCGUCCGUCCUCGCCCGUGCAUCGCGAGAGGCCGCGCCGUCGAACUGGAAGGGCUCCGCCGCCGUCGCCGCCAAUUACCUCCUCCAUCACCACAACCCAGAUCUGCGCCACCGGAUCUCUUCCCGCUGCAGUUACCUGUCGGCGUCGUUCUCGAGCUCCUGCCGGCGUCGGAACCUUCCGCCACUUCGUCCUCUGGCUCCCAUGCGUCAUCCUCGAGCUCCCGUGCAUCCUCCCCAAGCUCACGCGCAUCCUCGCUGGAAUCUCUACUGCUCCUUCUCCCUUGCAGCCGGUGUGCCUGCUUAUCCCCUGUCACCGGAGGAGCUCCUCUGCACGUACUUGUUGGAAUUAUGCCCUANNNNNNNNNNNNNNNNNNNNNNNNNNNNNNNNNNNNNNNNNNNNNNNNNNNNNNNNNNNNNNNNNNNNNNNNNNNNNNNNNNNNNNNNNNNNNNNNNNNNNNNNNNNNNNNNNNNNNNNNNNNNNNNNNNNNNNNNNNNNNNNNNNNNNNNNNNNNNNNNNNNNNNNNNNNNNNNNNNNNNNNNNNNNNNNNNNNNNNNNNNNNNNNNNNNNNNNNNNNNNNNNNNNNNNNNNNNNNNNNNNNNNNNNNNNNNNNNNNNNNNNNNNNNNNNNNNNNNNNNNNNNNNNNNNNNNNNNNNNNNNNNNNNNNNNNNNNNNNNNNNNNNNNNNNNNNNNNNNNNNNNNNNNNNNNNNNNNNNNNNNNNNNNNNNNNNNNNNNNNNNNNNNNNNNNNNNNNNNNNNNNNNNNNNNNNNNNNNNNNNNNNNNNNNNNNNNNNNNNNNNNNNNNNNNNNNNNNNNNNNNNNNNNNNNNNNNNNNNNNNNNNNNNNNNNNNNNNNNNNNNNNNNNNNNNNNNNNNNNNNNNNNNNNNNNNNNNNNNNNNNNNNNNNNNNNNNNNNNNNNNNNNNNNNNNNNNNNNNNNNNNNNNNNNNNNNNNNNNNNNNNNNNNNNNNNNNNNNNNNNNNNNNNNNNNNNNNNNNNNNNNNNNNNNNNNNNNNNNNNNNNNNNNNNNNNNNNNNNNNNNNNNNNNNNNNNNNNNNNNNNNNNNNNNNNNNNNNNNNNNNNNNNNNNNNNNNNNNNNNNNNNNNNNNNNNNNNNNNNNNNNNNNNNNNNNNNNNNNNNNNNNNNNNNNNNNNNNNNNNNNNNNNNNNNNNNNNNNNNNNNNNNNNNNNNNNNNNNNNNNNNNNNNNNNNNNNNNNNNNNNNNNNNNNNNNNNNNNNNNNNNNNNNNNNNNNNNNNNNNNNNNNNNNNNNNNNNNNNNNNNNNNNNNNNNNNNNNNNNNNNNNNNNNNNNNNNNNNNNNNNNNNNNNNNNNNNNNNNNNNNNNNNNNNNNNNNNNNNNNNNNNNNNNNNNNNNNNNNNNNNNNNNNNNNNNNNNNNNNNNNNNNNNNNNNNNNNNNNNNNNNNNNNNNNNNNNNNNNNNNNNNNNNNNNNNNNNNNNNNNNNNNNNNNNNNNNNNNNNNNNNNNNNNNNNNNNNNNNNNNNNNNNNNNNNNNNNNNNNNNNNNNNNNNNNNNNNNNNNNNNNNNNNNNNNNNNNNNNNNNNNNNNNNNNNNNNNNNNNNNNNNNNNNNNNNNNNNUGUUGGAAUUAUGCCCUAGAGGCAAUAAUAAAUGUGGUUAUUAUUAUAAUUCCUGUAUCAAGAUAAUAGUUUAUUAUCCAUGCUAUAAUUGUAUUGAAUGAAGACUCAUUUACAUGUGUGGAUACAUAGACAAAACACCGUCCCUAGCAUGCCUCUAGUUGGCUAGCCAGUUGGUCAAUGAUAGUCAGUGUCUUCUGAUUAUGAACAAGGUGUUGUUGCUUGAUAACUGGAUCACGUCAUUGGGAGAAUCACGUGAUGGACUAGACCCAAACUAAUAGACGUAGCAUGUUGAUCGUGUCAUUUUGUUGCUACUAUUUUCUGCGUGUCAAGUAUUUAUUCCUAUGACCAUGAGAUCAUAUAACUCACUGACACCGGAGGAAUGCUUUGUGUGUAUCAAACGUCGCAACGUAACUGGGUGACUAUAAAGAUGCUCUACAGGUAUCUCCGAAGGUGUUAGUUGAGUUAGUAUGGAUCAAGACUGGGAUUUGUCACUCCGUGUGACGGAGAGGUAUCUCGGGGCCCACUCGGUAAUACAACAUCACACACAAGCCUUGCAAGCAAUGUAACUUAGUGUAAGUUGCGGGAUCUUGUAUUACGGAACGAGUAAAGAGACUUGCCGGUAAACGAGAUUGAAAUAGGUAUGCGGAUGCUGACGAUCGAAUCUCGGGCAAGUAACAUACCGAAGGACAAAGGGAAUGACAUACGGGAUUAUACGAAUCCUUGGCACUGAGGUUCAAACGAUAAGAUCUUCGUAGAAUAUGUAGGAUCCAAUAUGGGCAUCCAGGUCCCGCUAUUGGAUAUUGACCGAGGAGUCUCUCACGUCAUGUCUACAUAGUUCUCGAACCCGCAGGGUCUGCACACUUAAGGUUCGACGUUGUUUUAUGCAUAUUUGAGUUAUAUGGUUGGUUACCGAAUGUUGUUCGGAGUCUCGGAUGAGAUCACGGACGUCACGAGGGUUUCCGGAAUGGUCCGGAAACGAAGAUUGAUAUAUAGGAUGACCUCAUUUGAUUACCGGAAGGUUUUCGGAGUUACUGGGAAUGUACCGGGAAUGACGAAUGGGUUCCGGGAGUUCACCGGGGGGGGCAACCCACCCCGGGGAAGCCCAUAGGCGUUGGGGGAGGCACACCAGCCCUUAGUGGGCUGGUGGGACAGCCCACAAGUGCUCUAUGCGCCAAGAGAAGAAAAAUCAAGAGGAAAAGGGAAAAAAAAGGAGGAGGUGGGAAAGGAGGAGGACUCCCUCCCACCAAACCUAGUCCAACUCGGUUUGGGGGGGGGAGAGUCCUCCCCCUUGGCUCGGCCGACCCCCUUGAGGGUCCUUGGACCCCAAGGCAAGGCCCCCUCCCUCCCACCUAUAUAUACGGAGGUUUUAGGGCUGAUUUGAGACGACUUUUCCACGGCAGCCCGACCACAUACCUCCACGGUUUUUCCUCUAGAUCGCGUUUCUGCGGAGCUCGGGCGGAGCCCUACUGAGACAAGGUCAUCAUCAACCUCCGGAGCACCGUCACGCUGCCGGAGAACUCUUCUACCUCUCUGUCUCUCUUGCUGGAUCAAGAAGGCCGAGAUCAUCGUCGAGAUGUACGUGUGCUGAACGCGGAGGUGCCGUCCGUUCGGUACUAGAUCGUGGGACUGAUCGCGGGAUUGUUCGCGGGGCGGAUAGAGGGACGUGAGGACGUUCCAAUACAUCAACCGCGUUCUCUAACGCUUCUGUUGUACGGUCUACAAGGGUACGUAGAUCACUCAUCCCCUCUCGUAGAUGGACAUCACCAUGAUAGGUCUUCGUGCGCGUAGGAAAAUUUUUGUUUCCCAUGCGACGUUCCCCAUCAGUACUGCUGCUGGUCAUCUGCCUGAGUUGUUGCUGCUCCUCUGCUGGAGUUGAUGCUCCUCUGCUCGAUCUACUCUGCCGCUGGUGAAGCUCUGCCCGUGGUACUGCUAUUCCUCUGCCCAUUUGCACCUGAAGAAGGUACUGAUGAAACUGUUUGUUGUUUACUGCUACCUAAAACUGCUGUUGUUUGAGAAACUGCAUUGCUUGAGAAACUUGUAAUGUUGUGGUAUCGAAAAUAAUUUUGUGCAAUACUUGUAAUGUUGUGGUAUCAAAAAUAAUUUUGUGGAGUAUCAGAAACAGAGAAGCCUGGUUCAAGGUUUUGCACUGGAAACAGAGCAGUCUGGUUCAAGGUUGUGCACUGGAAACAGAGCAAUCUGGUUCAAGGUUUUGCCUAGAUAAACCAGACCGGAUGAGAGACCAAAUACAUGGGCAAGUAGUCAAAAGAAACACAUAAUUUGCCUAGAAUCUUGUUGUCCUGUGAUGCAAGAAAAUUUCACCAUGUGUAUGUUGUGGAACGCUUACAGUUGCACAAAUCAGACAUAUCAGUAGGUUGGUUCAGGUGUUGGUUCUUGGCCUAUUAACAUAGAAAGCCCCUUUGUAACUACUAGGACAAUCAGCUUGUGUAAAGAUCAUAUUUAGAGACGAAUUGCAAGCAUUAACCUGAUCUUAACAUAUAUAAAUGGAUAUUAAGUUUUCCAUUUUAGGCGAAUACAGAUAGAGGUUUCAACUAGACCUAGUGAGAAAUGGUUCCAUGGUAGCAUUUCUUGUUUGGCUGUCGUAGCUCGAUUACAUAUUGUUUUUACGUGCGUAUAUAUUCUUGUUACAGUACCAUGGUGUACUCAUCUUUUGUCAUUGAUAGCAGGAGUAUGGAUUUGAACAUGAUACCUCAAGAGGAGGAUGAAGGUAUUAAUUUGAAUUGGAUCCCUCAAGAGGAAGAGGCUCAAGGGGGAGAGGAUGGAGGUAUGGAUUUGAACAUGAUGCCUCAAGAGGAAAAGGAUGAUGGUAUUAAUUUGAAUUGGAUCCCUCAAGACGAAGAGGAUCCAGGGGGAGAGGAUGGAGGUAUGGAUUUGAACAUGAUGCCUCAAGAGGAAGAGGAUGAAGGUAUUAAUUUGAAUUGGAUCCCUCAAGAGGAAGAGGCUCAAGAGGAAGAGGAUGAAGUUAUGAAUUGGAUACUUCAAGAAGAAGAAGAAGGUCAAGAAGGUGUACCAGGUAAACAGAAAAGAAAAGAAUUGUCAAAUAAGGAGAGGCAUGCUGUUUACUUUGCUCUGCUAGUAAUCGAGCUCAGAGAUGGAUCUGUUCAACCAAACGACAAGCUGCUAGUAUCAAUCUUGUUGAACAUACAUGUACGAUCUAUUGAGAGAAUCUGGUCGGAGCCAAAAAGCAGAUUGCCGCGGGCCAAGAAGUAGAUGUCUCCAACAAGAAGAAAGGAAGAGUUGGUCGAAAGAGAAAAGAGCUGGAUCUUGCAAGGACCUCAACAAUCCCAUUGAAUAGAAGAAGGACAAUUCGAUCUCUGGCACGGUCUCUCGGUGUGACCCGCUCAACCCUACAUCGGAGGUUCCAGUUAAAUGAGCUCAACCGCAUCACAAACACAGUCAAGACUUACCUCAAACCAGAGAACAAGAUUGCAAGAUUGAAGUUUUGUAUGUCCAUGCUCGAUGACAAUUGGAUCUCAACUUCCCAAGCUAUAUUCAAGCCAAUGACUAAUAUGGUCCAUAUAGAUGAAAAGUGGUUUGACAUGACAAGACUAAAGAACAACUACUAUGUACUUCCAGGAGAGCCUCCACCUGAGCGCACCGUGACAAACAUUAACAUCAUUGGGAAGGUAAUGUUUCUAACGGUUGUGGCCAGAUCUCGAUACAAUUAUGAUGGAGAGCUAACAUUUGACGGGAAGAUUGGUAUUUGGGCAUUCAUCAAAGAGUCUGAGGCAGUGCGAACGAGUCACAAUAGAGCAAGGGGAACGACAGUGCUGAAACCAGUGAAAGUAACGAGACCUGUGUGUAGAGAAUAUCUGAUCAAUAAGGUUAUACCAGCAAUUCAAGAUAAAUGGCCUGACGAUGAUGAGGGAGCAACAAUAUUCAUCCAACAAGAUAAUGCAAAGCCUCGCGUUCUUCCCAACGAUGAAGCUUUUCGAGAAGCUGUGGAAGAAACUGAUCUCGACAUUAAGUUGAUGCAACAACCUCCAAACAGCCCAGAUUUGAACUGUUUGGACCUCUGCUUCCACAAUUCUCUCCAGUCUCUAACCGAUUGUAGGUCACCUACAAACAUCCAGGAACUGAUACAGGGUGUGGAAGAGGAGUUUGAGAAUUAUGAUCCUCACAAGUUGUACAACAGCUUCAUCACAUUGCAAGCAGUUAUGUUUGAAAUUAUGAAAGAUCAAGGAGGAAACCAAUAUAAGUUGCCCCACUUACACAAGGAACGUCUUCAGAAUGACGGCAGAGAAAUAACAAGUGUAUAUUGUGACAGUCAGCUAGUUGCUGAUACUAGGGCCAUUCUAGAAGAAAUGCAAUAGGAAAAGGAAAGGAAGAAAAGAAGUAGUUGUAGAAAGGAAAAAAAGAAUUGAACUUAUCUGAAUUGUACUCCUUGUGUACUCCUUGUACUCCUUGUGUAUGUCUUGUGCAAUAGGAAAAUGCAAUUGGAAUCAUUUGAGAUCAAUGAUGAUACUGGUUAUCCAACAUUUCCAUCUUGUGUAUCGGAAUUCAUUUUAAUUGUUUGGACUAAUUUGUUUGAGUUUAUCUUGAGUUUAUCCAGCAUUUCCAUCUGUAUUGGAGAUCAAUGAUCUUGUGUAUUGGAAGGGUCAUGUACAUGGGGAUGUUGCCUCAAGUUUUAUUAAAUUUAUUGUUUCAGGUUUCAGUAUACAAAGAUUACUGGGGUAUUGUCUAUAGUUUGGAUAAACCAAAUAAAGUUCACAAAUCUUUAUUCCCUUUGUGCAUAAAGUUUACAAAUCCCAAGCAUAGAGUUGGGAUCAACAAAAAAAUUCUAAGCUUACAAAUCGUGAGUGCUUUCAUCUCAAAAAAAUUCUAAGCUUACAAAUCCAGAACUGGUAGCCUUCCUUAUCUCAAUUCUCUGGUACUGAUUUUUGCUCUCUUUUUUUACCUUCCUUCAACAAGUUGUUCCUUGAACUGCAGGUACUCAGGGACAGUCAACUCCUCGUCGUCUGAAUUCUCAAGUACAGUAGUACUAGUAGCUUGGUUCAGGUUGAUUCUCAAUGAUGCCCUGCACUUGACACUAAAGCCUCCAGCCUGCAGAUAUACAAACGAAAUACAGAUACAUGCAUCAGUCUGAACCUGAAGAAGAAGGAAUGCAACCUGUGAAAUGUGUGAAAUGCUCCUACCAACAGACAAUGGAUGGUUUUUUUGUUUUGAUUGGUCUUGCUCUCGGUUUGAAGAUGAAGUGGUGUUAUUUCGCUUACCGUUGAUGUUCAAGUGUAGGCUUUUGCCUGCCCAGCACCUCUUAACCAUGUCAUCUCCUUGCAGUGCGUCUGGUUCAGGCCGAGCUCCGGGAAGCGGCUGCGCAUCAGCGGCAGCAGCGUGUCCGACGUCCCCAGGUACAUGGACUGGAAGUUGGCCUCCUGUUUCUACACGAGCACCCUGAUGAAGAGGUCUUCGGGGAGAGCUGGGGCGACUUGUUGCCAUCUGGUGAGGACGUCCACGGCGCCCUGGUCGACGGACUUCGUGACGCUGAACAUUGUCACUGUCGGGGGACGGGAACGUGCUUCACCUGCCACGAGAGCACGACGCCGAAGCUCUCGCCGACGCCGUUUCCGACGCAGCCGGAGAAGACGGCGGCGGUAGGUGGAGAAAUCAUUGCUUUUUAUGAGGAAGGGGGAAGCUUGGGGAGGCAGGCGAGUCGCAACUGCGGCGGCGGAGCGGCGGGGGACCGGGGGAGCAGGGGAGUUGCGGCAGGCGGAGCUGCAGCGGGCGAGCGGCAGCUGCGGCGGGGGAGUAGGGCAGCUGCGGCGGCGAGGAGCAGGCAAGCUGUAGCGAGCGUAGAUGGGGCAUCUGUCGGAGGAGGAGGACGAGGAGCGCGGGUUUGGUCGGGAGAAGCUGUAGGGGCUUUUCGCAAAAUUACCGUCGCGACAUUAAUUUCGGGACGGAGGGAGUAGCAUCUAAUCCUUCCAAAUAACACAGAACAUACGUGUUGCACGACCCAAAUGGGGCCCGGUCAAUGACAUCAAUCCCAUAUGUCACUCUCUGCUCCUACUACCUCGCUGUCCAUUACUUCAUGGUAAAUCUGGGGACGAGGAGGACAUGGUCGUCUGUCUGGCUCUUCACCUCCCUCGGGAGCAGUGCACUCGACCACGGUUGGACUCUAACCGGUGGAAAUCCAUGGUGUCCGUUCAAAUGUCGUUUGGAUGCGCAGGGAUGAUUGCUCGAGGCGUGCGGGCGCGGCCUCGACGGACACAGUGAUCGCCGUCCAAUUCUAGUAUGAUGAUGCAACCCCUUUGGUGGUGCCUCAUCCCUACGCCCUCGGGCUCGGAGUCGAAGAUCUGCACCGGCAUGAGUUACGGUCCAUCUUCUAACAUGGAGUGGCAUACCCGUCGUGCAAGGCAAAGGCCGCGUGGCGAGACGUAGAUGCUCUAACCACAUCUAGAUGGGAUCACAUCGAUUUAUGAUAUCCCGACUUCCCGAUCAACGAGUCUCCUCUGAUCAAAACCAUGUUACCCUAAUAUGCAUGUAAAAAAGUUAGGCUAAUAUGCGCGUAAAAAAGUUGAUUAACUGCUGCUAAAAUGGUGUGAUGUGAUAAGCCGGCCCUCCCCAACAAGAAAUAAUAACAACUGCCCCCCUAUCUCUCAUAUCCAAUUUAUAUAUGAGCCGGAUAUAGCGAGGACUGGAUGCGUCCGUCAGGUUGUAUCCGGCUCACGCUGGUUCAUCCCGACCCAUAUAUAUCCGUCUCUAUCUCCAACCUGGACGAAACCCUAGCUACUCCACCCCUCUUCUUAGCUCCGUUCCGAUGAUCUCCAGCCAUCUCCGACAUUACAGGCAGCGUCCGACACGGAGUUGGGAUCUCGCCCCAUGCGGGGAUGAGGAGGACAUGGCCGUCCGGCCGGCACUUCGCCGCCCCCGGAAGGAGUGCGCUCGACCACGGUUGGACUCUAUCCGGCAAAAACCCAUGGUGUCCGUUCAAAUCUCGCUUGGAUCCGCAGGGAUGAUGGCUCGAGGCGUCCGGGCGCGGCCUUGCCGGACGCGGUGACCACCAUAAUAUUCUAACUCCGGGAUGGCGAUGCAACCCCUCCGGUUGCGCAUCAUCCCUAACAUGGAGCGGCGUACGCCGUCGUGCGAGGCAUAGGACGCGGGGGCGAGGUGUAGAUGCUCUAACCGCAUCUGGAUGAGAUCACAUCGAUUGAUGAUGUCCGGAUAAACGAGUCUCCUCAGAUCAAAACCGUGUAAUAAUCCUACAAAAUAAAGACAUCGCCCAACGUGUUCCAGAACGCUCUGAAUGAGACCCCGCGAAUGGCAACAACCAUACCAUUUAUGAGCAAGUUUUGUCAGUCCCCCCACCCGGCCAGCCCGUGACAUCGAUGUAGCAGCUUCCGUUCCUAUUUAACCAGCGUACCAUUUGCACUACAUUGCAUCACAGCAAGCACACACACACACACACUCUCUAGAGAAAUGGCGAUGGCUAGGACGACGGCGCUCCUCCUCGUCGCCGCGGCUCUCCUGGCGGCCUCAUCCAGCGCAUGGGAGGUGAACAUCCAGAUGCCGGCGUCGGCGGCCGUGGACGAUGCUGUGGCACCGCUCAUCCACGCGCUGCGGCCGCUCCUGGGCUCCGGCAAGCAAGCCGGCGUGGCGUGCGAUAGCUGGCGGCUGGGCGUGGAGGCGCACAACGUGCGGGACUGGAAGACGGUGCCCGCCAGCUGCGAGGAUUACGUCGGCCACUACAUGGUCGGCGACCACUACCGCCGGGACUCCAAGGUCGUCAUCGACCAGGCCAUCGCCUACGUCGACUCCCUCAAGCUCGCCGGCAACGGCAAGGAGGUCUGGGUCUUCGACGUCGACGAGACCACCCUCUCCAACCUCCCCUACUACGCCAAGCACGGCUUCGGGUACGU
RNAcentral lists this long non-coding RNA (66837 nucleotides) under Hordeum vulgare. RNAcentral's name for it is "long non-coding RNA (HVUL_LNC011207)". The record is from RNAcentral. Lineage: Eukaryota; Viridiplantae; Streptophyta; Magnoliopsida; Poales; Poaceae.